Molecule: long non-coding RNA, 69940 nt
Filed under: Gossypium barbadense (sea-island cotton)
Lineage: Eukaryota; Viridiplantae; Streptophyta; Magnoliopsida; Malvales; Malvaceae
Description: long non-coding RNA (GBAR_LNC016623)
Rfam family: MIR7502 microRNA precursor family (bases 1043-1180)
Source: RNAcentral
AGAAGAACACCAAGAGUACAAGAGUGAUAGUUCCAAACAGACCACAGACAUCAACACCAAACGAAAGGGAAAAAAGAACAAAUACAACACAUAUCUUAGACCAUUUAACACUGCUAAUUAAUUAUCGUAACUUACCUAUCAGUAUGCUCGAAAAUUAGUCAAGCAGUACAACCACAUAUAUAUAUAGGUAGAGAAAUGUCCAUUAUAUGAACUUACAUAACGGGAUACGAAGCUUUCAUGGCGAUACCACAUAAGCCACCUGGUGUAUUCGCGUCCCUUUGAAUCCUAAUAUAUCCUUUUUCACCCCAAGUUUCUCCCCAUGAAUUCUUAGCCAGCCAGUAGUUUAAACCUUCUUCACUUGUUCCGUAUCCGACAACGGUGACUGCAUGGGAGAGAGCAUUGCCACAAUCUCCGGUAAACACUCCCCCGCUGUAAAACCGAAAGUCUUGUCCAUGGCCUUCGAUUGCAACUGAGACAGGUUGACUUGCGACGACCUUAAGCAACGCUUCUUCGUCGUUUUCAGGCACCAUUUGAUAUUCAUUGAUGGUGGCAACUUUGUUUAUCUGUUUCUCAGUGUCGCAAGUUUCUUGCGUUUCUUGAUAUGGGUAGCUUUCUUCAGUAGUUAUUCCUUGGUUUCGGAUAACGUAUUCGAAAGCAUUUACCAUUUGUCCACCAUCGCAACCUCUGUUUCCUCCAUCUGUGCUGCAAUCCAACAAUUGUUGUUCAGAUAAUGACAUUAAACUACCAGUUUUGAUUUGGACUAUCCCUUCAAUGGCUGCCACUGCUGAAAAUGCCCAACAACAUCCUGCAAAGUAAACCAACAAUAACCCUUUGUUAAGUAUAAAACAAUUACUGAAAAAACUAAAUGAAUGCUUCUUGGCUGAGCAAUAUUUAUAAAAUAUUUUAUAGGAGUUGGGUUAGCAUACUAACAUAUUUUUAAGGGAAAAAUCAAAUAGUGACACGUGGUUGUUAAAAAGUAAAUAAGUCUUAUUGAGCAAAAUUAAUUUUUAUAUAUUGAAUCAAAAAGUAAAUAAGUCUUUUAUGUUAAAAAUUUAAUUCAUUUGUACUAUUAAAAACUGUCGUGACUGACAAAAUAACCAAAUAAUAACACGUGGCUUGCCAUGUGUGUUGAUAUAUAAGGACCAGUUUUUCAUAUUAAAAAUGAAUGAAAUUUUUAAAAGAAUGAUGAGUUUGCUAUUUGAUUAACGUGCGAGGAUUCAUUUGCCCAUAUUUUGAGUAGAGACGACAAAAUGCAAUUCGGCUCCUAGUAUAAGAGUCUCCAUAAACUUUUACCUCUUUUAUUUAAAAAUAUAUAUUUUUAAAUAUUAUAAUUAUAAAUUUAUUGAUUUUUUUAAUUUAUUCGUCAUUAAGCAUACAUCAAUGUUAAAGUAAGUUUGCAUUUUCUUUCCAUAUGAUAUAUGUUUUAAUUUGGAAUCGAUCUAAUAUUUCUAUCAUAUCAUUUAAAAAAUUGAUUUUUUUCAAAAUAUAUCAAAGGAUUGAAAGAUUUGUAUAUUAAUUAAAUAAUUUGACAUUUUUAAUUUACUUAAACCUUGAUUAAUAUUAUUUAUGUUAAUACAACAUCACAUAUGAUGGUUGAAUUAAGCAAAUAUAUUGCAGAAAAUUAUUUCUUUUCUACAAUGAUGGAAAAUUAACUUAGGGUGCUGUGUGUUUAACUUACUUUUUGUCUCAUACUACAGUAUUGCUACAGUAUCUAAUCUCACCGUCAUUGUUAUUUUUAUAGUAUCGGCAGGUAAACGCACCACCCAUCCAAACUCACUCUUAGUUUUAUAGUAAUAUAAGUGAAUUCCCUACAUAUAUAUACAUUAGAUUAUGAGAUAUCUAUGAUGUCGAUGAAAAAUAUUUACGUAAAAAAUAUAUUAACUAAAAUUUUAUAUAAAAAUUAAAUAAAAUUUUAAUUGAAAUAAUAAAAUUAAAGGUUUAAAAACUAAUGCUUUAAGCUUAAAUCUCAUCAUGUGUACUUUUAAUGAUUUUAUAUAUAAAAAAAACUCUCAUAAUAAUACAAGUUAGAUUGUAAAAAGAUGACUUUUUAAUUAGUUUCGACUGCAUUUGUGUUCGAUUGAUUUGUAACAUUAACUUAAUCAAUGGUUGUAUGUAAAUUGAGACUUACCACAUUGACCUUGAAACUUAACAGGAGUGACAGCACCUUGGGCCCUCCAAUCCAAGUUUGUCGGAACAUCUGAGACGUUUUCAUACAUAAAAGAUGUUGAUUCGGACAGUGUGGGAUUGCCUUGCAUCUUGUAUCCUGUAUGAGCUGCAAUGAAUUCAUCUUGUGUCAUGUCUGCAAAUUCAUUGAGACUUAACUUAAAACUCCUAUUUCCGCCAUUGUUGAAGCUCUCAAUAUAUUCCAAGUUUUCCUUGAAUAUAUUAAGACGCUUCUCCUUCUCUAAUUUGCUCUCAUAUUUUCGAUUAUAAUCAACCAUCCAUUGCUCAUGUUUGUCAACAAUGAAGGUUUCAUGGAUUGUUCGGGACAUGGCAAGAGAUUCCAAUGUCCCAAAAAUUAAAAACAAAAAGACGUGGAUUAAACUCAUCAUUGUUUGGCAGAGAUACUACACUAAUUGAAAGGUCUAGCACUCAAUGAAUCUAUAUAUACUACAAAAUUUGAUUAAAAUAACUAUUUUUAAUUAAGUCAUCUUAUGAAAAAUCCAAAUAAAAGGCCAAUAAAAUAUUUGAUUUAAAUAAAUAUUUUUAAUUGAUUAACCCUACUACAAGUUUGUUUGUAUUUGUUUUUCUUCCUUUGAGUUGAAAAAAUUCAACACUCCCAUUAUGUUAAGGGUAAAUUGCAUAAUAAUCACUCAAUUAUUAAUAAAUUAAGUGACGAUAACUAACAAGUGAGUGAUUAAAAUAUUUAAUUUAAAAAAAUUAAGUGACUAAAUAAAAAAAUUUAAUAGGUGGGUGACCAAAAUAGAACCAAGUGCAUAGUUGGAUGACUAUAUUUUUAGUUUACCCAUUAUUCAUAGUUGCUGACAUUCAAAAUUAACAUGGAUUAAAUUGCUCAGAUUUUUUAGAGGGACGAGCUUACUCAAUUUCUCGUAGAAGUUGUGGUUUUUAUAUUUUAUUUUUAAAACUCAAAAAUAAAUUGUAAAAACUUGUUUUUAAAAUGAUUUAAAAAAAAUAAAACCAAUUUGAUUAAAGGGUUGCAAUUGAUAAGGGGAAAUCUCAUUACCUUCGCCUACAAUUAUUUUAAACAUAGGUUAACACGUAAUUUGAGGAGGAACUGAGAGAAAAACUUAUUAAACCAGAGUUAAAUAUUCAUCCCUUCAUUGCUGUUUUCCAGUUGUAUUGCUGCAUGCAAGCACUUCACUUGGAUUUCACUAUCAACCUUCCAACUUCCCCACUAUGUACGAUUAAAAUAUCACACAAGUGAAGAGAUAUUUUAAAGGAGAAAACUAUCCACACUUAAUCUAAAUUAAAAGUGAUCUAAUUUAAUUAAAAUUUAUUGAGCUUUAAUUAUUAAAUAAAAUAUGAAUCAAAUAUUAAUUUCUAACUAAUACUGGGCUGAUUAGGAAUUAAAGUAGAUUUAACUUUUUUAAAUUACUUAUCUGCUAAUUUAAAAGAUUAAAACUAUAAAAUUCAAAGAUCUCAUAAAAUCGAUAGAUUUAAGUACGCUUUUGUAUUUUAUUUUGCUCUUGACUAAACAAAUUUUACUUUAUUAAAUAAAAUAUGAAUCAAAUGUUAAUUUCUAAAUGAUAAUGGGCUGAUUAGGAAUUAAAGUUAACGUAGAUUUAACUUUUUUAAAUUACUUAUGUACUAAUUUAAAAGAUUAAAACCACAAAAUUAAAAGAUCUCAUAAAAUCGAUAGGUUUAAGUACGCUUUUGUAUUUAAUUUUGUUCUUGACAAAACAAAUUUUACUUUAUUAAAUAUUUAAAUAAUGAAAUACCUUAAGAUGAAUGAAAAAGAAAAUGAAUUUCAUGAUAUUUUAGUAAUAAAAUAUAUGAAAUGAUGAUUAUAUUUAAAUUCCAAAUUCUUUAGUGCAAGUGUCUGGGUCUUCAUUCUUGCAAUAAUGUAAGAUUGAGCCAAUUAAACAUUACAUGUAGUCUUUAGUGAAAUCAUCUAGGCCUUCAUUAUCGUCUCUAAAGCCCCAUUACAUAAUUGGCGCGCCGAUGAAGCAAAUGAGAAUGUUGACAAGCAGGAUUUGCUCUAUUUUUUCUCUUAAUUUCUUAUGUUUGAUAGUUGCUGCGUGGAAUAGAAAGAUAGACCAGAUGCAAGUCACGGUCAAGGUCAACUGCCCUUAUUUGCAACAGAGCCAGGGUGAUUUUUUUUAUUAAUUUAUUUUGAAUAUUUUUAUUAAAAUAAUGCGUGAACGGACAAAACAAAAUUUUAUUGUGGAUUCAGUUAUUAUAGUAUUUUGAGUUUAAGGUUAAUUAAGAUACGACCAAUUUCCUCUGGUUUGCAAAAGUUAUUUCAUCAAUGGUAGUGGGACAUUUAGACUCCACCAUCAUGAGUCGUAGAAUAAUACAUAUUCGUCUAUUAAGAAUGAGGAAUUAAUAAAAACAGAAGCAAACCGAGUGAUUGUUUCCUCUAUAGGGAGGACAAGCAAUCUAAGGAUAAGAAAAUGCUUAAAACUUCAAGUUAUCCCAAAGCGAACAAAAAGAAGUAUAAAAACUUAUUAAAAUCUAAGUAUUUUUAUCAACAAGUGUUGGUUACAAUGGUAAGGUAUAUUGCAUUGUAGAGGACAUUGUUGGAAGGGACAGUCAUUAACCUAGAACAUAGACCGUAAAACAGACAUGAAUAAUACCCCAAAAAAAGUCCAAGUGUUUCUUUUGUAAUAACAAAAAGAGCACUGCAAGGAAAAAUGCAAAGAGUGUAAGGAUUACCUAGUCUCUAAGGGUAAAGGUAUGAAACUCUUGAUUAUUGAAACUUGUUUAGCGGAAGACUUAAUAGACCAUUAAGUCAUUGAUUAUAGAGCCACUAGUCAUGUUUGUAUUUCUUUGUAGGGGUUUAAGGAAAUGAAAGAUCUUCAGGAUAAGAAUCUACCAUUGCGAACCGGAGAUGGGAGCUAUGUGGCUACAAAAACAAUUCGAGAAGUACAUCUUUAUUUUGAUAGUUUUAGGAAGAUUGCUUUGGGAGAUGUUUUCUAUGUACCAAACUUUAGAAGAAAUGUAAUUUAUAUUGCAUGUUUAUUUAAAGACGAUUAUACUGUGACUUUCUGUAAUGGUAUUGCAAUUCAUAGAAAUCAAUCUCUUAUCUCUAAUGGAGGGAUGCAAAAUAAUAUUUAUUUUAUCAAAUCAAAUAUGCACUUACAGCUAGAAAUUGAACUCGUAAAUGAGAAACUUGAAACUUCUCUCUAAUGAGGCAUACUCAUUUCUAAUUUCAACGAGCUACCAGAGGGACUGAUUGGAUAUAUUUAAUUAGGGCUUAAAUGAUUUGUAAUUAAGUUUUCGCUUACAGCCUGUUAAUUAUAAACUCAUUUCAUCACAAAUUCAUUCGACUAUAGUAUCGUUACUGAGCUCUACCUAGAGGCAUACCAUUACAAAAGCAACUACUUCAGUGCUCGUCCAAUGACAUUUUCAUAAGUGUGUCACCCUCAUAUGAUAUCCUUGAUCUCUUUGGAAUAAUAUCCGCUCUCCCAAUAUGAUCCUUUUUUUUUCUCUUGGUAACCAUUACAUCUUCCUUCAUGAAAAAUCUAUCACUAUCAAAUAAUGAUCAAGUCAUCCAUCAUAAAGAGGAACGACCUGCUGCCACAUUUACUUUUCAUCAACCAUGUAAUGCAUAUUGAGGAUAUCAUUUACCCAUGUCUCGACCUAUGAAUUUCACUAUUGUGAAUGAUGCGAUAUACUGAACAAAUCUUACACCCAAUGAACCAGCUUUCAGUUCUGUAUCUAUUUGAACUCAAGCUUUUACUUACAUCAAAGUGUACAUAAUAAUUGUAACCUUCUCUUGCACUAAUACUCAUGGGGCCACAUAAGUUAGUUUGAACAAGUUAUAGGGGUUUUCUAUCCCUUGUUCCUUUUGCAUUAAAAGAUCGCUUAGUUAUCUUACCUUCAAAGUAAGAUUCACAUUGUGGAAGAUCAACUUCUUUAAGCGAACUUAAGAUGUCAUCUUUAACAAGCCUAGUGAGUUUUUCUCAGUUAAUAUGACCAAGUAUCAAAUGCCAAAUGUAUGCAUUAGAGUGAGAAGUUUUAAGUCUUUUAUUUGAUAUUUUAGUCUCAAGUAAUGUGUACAUCUUUGGUUUGAUAAAAUAAAGAUUAUUGACAUCCACCCAUUACAAUUAAGAUUGCGAUUCCAAAAUAUUGCAAUUCCAUUACUAAUAGUCACGAUUAACAUAAAUUAAGAUUGCGAUUCUAAAAUAUUGCAAUUCCAUUAUAUAAACAGGCAACAUAAAUUAAGUUUCUUUUGAAAUUUGAUACAUAGAAAAAGUCUCUUAAAAAAAUAAUCAUCCUAAAAUUUUGAAAAUAAAGAUGUACAUCUCCCACUACUUCAUCUGCCACACUUGUCCAGUUCCCAGACCACAACGAUAAGCUCUUAUACCUAAGAUCCUUUCUUUCCUCGAACCCCUAUAGAUAAAUACUAAUUUAAGGGUGUUUUUUUCUUUGCUAAUUGCUAAGUUGUGAAGAACUAGCACUCAGUGGACGUAUAUAUAUACUACAAAAAAAAUUAUUGAAAUGAAGAUUUUUUUAAUUAAGUCAUCUUAUGAAAAUUCAACUAAAAUGCCAAUCAAGUCUAUUUCUUUAAAUAAAUAUUUCUUUAAAUACUAAUUUCUAACUAAUAAUGGGCUGAUUAGGAAUUAAAGUUGACGUAGAUUUAACUUUUUUAAAUUACUUAUGUACUAAUUUAAAAGAUUAAAACCACAAAAUUCAAAGAUCUCAUAAAAUCGAUAGAUUUAAGUUUGCUUUUGUAUUUAAUUUUGUUCUUGACUAAACAAAUUUUACUUUAUUAAAUUUUGUAUCUUAACAAAAGAUUAAUAAAACUGGAAUUUGAAACAAUUAAUAUUGUAUUAAAUAUUUAAAUAAUGAAAUACCUUAGGAUAAAUUAAAAAGAAAAUGAAUUUCAUGAUAUUUUAUUUGUUGGCAUGUUUUACCAAAAUAUUUUGAUGAUUUGCUUGCAUUUUUUUGAGUAUCUUGUGCAACCAAUCUUUUGUUUAUCAUUGGAAAAGAGAUUCAAUCAAGCAAAAUUAUUUUUCAAGGAUCCUUAUAUUGUUUACUUAUGUAACACCCAGUUUUGCCGGGUUGUAAGUUCUGACGAGAAGAUUAAGAGUAAUCGGUGAGAAGUAGCCUAUCUACUCGAUUAUCAUUUUGGCACAUAGAUUAGGCGCAUAGCAGAUAAUAGAAUAUUAAGCAGGGAUUGUCAGAUAAUAGAAUAUUAAGCAAGGAUUGUUCUCAGAAUGUAUUCAGUUGUAAAGAAGAAGAGAUUGAUGAGAGUGUUGAGAACCUUGUAAUAAGGGGGUUAUCGCCUAAAUUGACAAUUUUCCAUUUUAGGAGGGGGCCCUGCCAAGCUCCCUAGAUAUACCACUCAUAGUGGUUGAUUUUCAAAAUUGGCGUGGAUUAAAUUGUUUAAAUAUUUAAGAGGGACCAGCUUACUCAAUGUUAAAAUUGAGAAGGACCAAAAAUUGUUUUUUUUUCCUUGUAGACAGUUGUUUAUAUAUAUAUAUAUAUUUGUAAAAACUUAUUAAACAGGAGCUAAAUAUUCAUCCCGUCAUUGCUGUUUUCCAGUCGUAUUGCAGCAUGCAAACUUAUUAUAUUUAAAUUCCAAAUUCUUUAGUGCAGGUGUCUGGGUCUUCAUUCUUUUCUCUUAUAAGAAGUUCAGAUUCAGACAAUUUUGUUUAGCCUUAGACACGACAAAGUGUUCUAAUAGUACAUCCCGCACGUUACUUAAUUGGCUGAUGUCGAUAAGUAAGAAUGCCCUUAAUUUCUAUCCUUUGAUAGUUGGGUGAUUGGGAUGAUUUAUUUAUUCAUUUUGGAAGUUUUUAUUAGAAUUUGACUUGCUAAUUUGCAUAUUUAUAUUAUAUUUGUGCUUUUUUUUACAUAAUUUUUUAUUAAUUAAUAAUGUGUUAUAGUAAACUUUUUUAUUCAAUUUAAUAUUACCAGCCCAUUCCAUAUUAAUUCAUUCAAAUAAAUUAUAUAGGAACUAUUUUUUAAUAAAAUAAUAAAUAGUAUUCCAAUAUUAUUUUUGUUUUCUAUUAUAUUUGAGUUAAUAUUUAAUAUAAUAUUAGUGGAAAUUUCAAUUCUAUAAUUUAAAUGCUAUCACAUAUUCCAUUUGAAGAAAAAAAAACAUUUAUUUUUUAUUACACUCUAAAAGUGUAUGAGCCGAUUGAGUCUUAACUCGGUUGGUAUUAACAUUGUUGCCUAUGCAGGAGGACAUGGGUUCAAGUACGUUGAAACACAUUUAUCCUCUUAUUGAGGGAGUGGAGAGACACUAUGGGUAGCUCUUUUAUUUUAACUCGAACAAUUUCACUCGAUGCGACUCGACUCAAAUUUUAUUUCACUCGACUCUAUUCGAAAAAAAAAUCAAAUUUACUUAAGAUCUUAAAAUAAGAAUCGUAAACUCGAUUAACUCGAAAUUUUUUAUAUACCAUUAUCAAAUCUACUUAGAACCAAGUAGACGAAAAUUCCAACCCAUACGAUACUUCAUUACUUAAUUGACGCAGCAAAUAUUGACAAAGCUGGGUUUGCGCCAAUUUUUUUUCUUCUUAAUUUCUAUUGUGUGAUUGGUACAUGGGUGGGAACGAACAUAAUUAGUGCCAUCCCACCAUGCAAUUGCAACCCUAAAAAAAAAAUCUAAAGAUGGUGACAAUUCAAAAUGGUAAUAAAAUAUUGAAAUAAAUUCUUUUUAUUUUACCUUGAUAUUAAUAAUAUUUAAUAACAUAAAAUAAUUUAUAUGUAUUAAAAUUUAUUAACCACUUCAUAUUAGAAUAACCCUAUCAUUAUUUCAAAAGGUAGAAAUGUUAUUAUUACAACAAUUAAAAAAUAUCAUAUAUUCCAAUCAUUAAUUCAUCAUAAUUUUAAUAAAAAUUCUCACAUAUAAUAAUGAUAAAUAAAAAUUAUUUAUGCUUAAUUGCAAAUUAUGUGCAAAUAUACACAAUUGUAACAAGUAAUAAAGUAGUAAUUAUACGAGUACCGUCUCCUUAGGGACUGAACAGGUAGUCAAGAUUUGCGAAAAUAAUUUAAAUAACAAUUAUAAAUGGGGUUUAUGCAAUUAAUUAAACUAAAUGCUUCUAUCCUGCAAAAUUUCAACAGAAUAAUGAGUACUUCAACAAAUGAAUUAAUAAUGCUAGAAUAAUUAAUCCACUUCUGUCUUUGUUCAAUUUAGUCUGGAUGCAAUUGUUAUGAAAAUCUUGGCAUAAUUAGCGUGUAACAUCCAUAACCUGUUUUCAUCACCAGAAUAGGGUUACAGAGUAUUACCAUACAAUUCGAAACAUUCCAUAACAAUAGCAUCUAAUUCAUCAAGUUAAUUAACAAUAUUCAUAAAUAAUUCGAAAUCAAGGAAGACACACAUUCAUAGAACUUAAAUCGAGCCUACGAGGCCUAAUAAUCAGAGAUUAAUUCAAAACAAAAUAGGAGAUUUGGUACAAAAAUAAAAAAAUUUCAAAAUAAGGGUCACACGGCCAUGUGUCUAGGCCUAAACCAUGUGGCCAUCACACAUGCUCGUGUGCAUGGGCCGUGUAACUCUCUAACUUGGGUCACACAGCCGUGUCACAGCCCGUGUAAACCUUGCACCUAACACACUAACACACGCCUGUGUGUGACACACGACCGUGUAACAACCUGUGUCCCAGGCCGUGUGUACCCAAAAGUGACUAAAAUCAUGUUGAUUUUUCAUCCAAUUACAUAAGUACCUAAACCAAUUCAUAACACAUGAUCAUAAGACUAUAACCACACCUAAAAGCAACCAAAACAUGUCAAUUUCAACCAUCUAAAACCAAACCAAGGUGUCAUACAUGAAGUUACAAAUAAUGUUUAUACCCAACAUAAUCAUUUCAUAUCACCUACAAAUCAUACAUAUACACCAACUAAUCUAUGUCAAUCUCAUCAUACCAUACUUAAACAUGAUAUUUACUAUUCCGUGGGCAAAACACUCAAGCUCAACUUUGAAUUUAACAAGCAUACCAUAUAAAGUUACCAUUCUACAACAUCAAACAUAUCAAACACCACACAUAGCUAUGAAACAUUACAAACAUAAAUCAUUUUUCCUAUUACAUGCUAUAUAACCAAAUUGUUUACAAAAUCUACCAAAAGAGUCUUUAGGAUAGUGUGAUUUUACGAGUUGAUCUGAUCUCCCCUCCACAAAAUGUAAUCUACAAGAAAAGGAACAAGACACGAGUAAGCUUACAGAAGCUUAGUAACUUCGUUGAUUAAAUGAUAAUCUUAUCGGAUUGAACAUAAAUAAACAAUGUAUGAGAUUUAAGAAAAUAAGUUCCUGUCAAUCACAGCUAACAACAGGUGAGUAUUGCACAGUACAAUAAUUCAAAUCAUAUUCCAUAUUACUAUUAUUUAAACUUUCCAAAAACACUUAUACUUGGAUAAUUCACAUCAUCAAGAUGCCAUAUGAUAAAUGAUCAAAAACCAUGUCAUAGUUCUAACAAUAUCUCAUUUCAUGUAAUCAAAAGGGUAUCACUCAUUCGAGUUAACAUUUAUAACUUUAACCGACUCACGAUGUUGCUUACACAAGCUGCAGAGAAUCCGCAACACAUGUAGGAUCUCAAGCCAUCGCUACGGUCUAUAUCACAAGUACACAGUACCUGCUAAAUAAUCACGAGCCCACAACCUACUAAGACCCGAAAAGAUCUCAAAACACAGUAGAAUAUACUUCAUGUUGCUCACCUCCUUUUCAUUUGCUCUUAAGAAUAGUAUAGUGUCGUCCGCGAAUUGUAAAUGAGUAAAAUUCUGUCUAAGAAUAACAUAUUGAAAGUCUUCAAUUAGCCCUAACUCCACAGCUUUAUCCAUUGCCAAAUGAAGCAUUUUCGUCACAAUUAAAUAAGAAUGGGGAUAGCGGACCUCCUAGACGAAGACCUCUGCAGAAUCUGAAUUCGUUUAUGGUUAACCCGUUGAUAAUUACUGUUGUCAUAACGUUGCCUACAUAAGAGUACGGGGGCCUAGUAAGCAAAGCUAGACACGAAGGGCCUAAAUUAAAGUAGAGUUGCCACUAACCAAUUAGGGCUAGCUUCGUAAGCCACCUAUCGUCUAAAAAUCUAGAAUUAAUACGUUGGAAAAUCCUAAAAGUCUAGAGUCAAUCUCAUCACCAAAUUUUGGGUUCGGGAGUACGGUUACGUAUGGGGAACGCUAUAGCACCCCCACAAUGCCUAUCCGGGGGAUAGUCCUACGGGGUUAUAAAACCUAGAAUUUUUUUUAAUUAAGCAUAUUAAUGUCUUAAUCUAGGCUAAAAUCUUAUGGAAAUUUUAAAUAAAAACUCUAAAGAAAUGCCUUUGGUUUACUUGUAACUCGAUUAAGAUGUGUUUACCAAGCUUAUCUAAUUUGAAACUUUAAUGAGAGAUUUUUAAUUUUAACGGGAACCUUAAAGGAUACCUAAAUAAGUAUAGUAAAAUAUCUUUAAUUCCUAAAGUUAAUUCUAUUUUAGAAUUCUAAAAAAACCUAGAAAUUACCAAUAAAAUAAGAGAAAUAUUAAAAUCAAUCUACAACUUAUUUGAUCUUUUAUUAUUAUUAUUUAAAAGAUUUAAUUAAUAACUUUGAACCUAUCAAGAUAUUACGAAAGUAUCCUAUGCCGGUUUAUGAUCUAUCUUACUUUAAAAUUCUUGAUCUAAUAUUUAAAUUCGUCAAAAUCCUGAAAUAAUAUAUCUUAAAUAAUAUUUAUUAGGUUUCUUAAAAAGUUUCUAAAAUAAAAUACUUAGAAAGACCUACUCAUGAUUUACAAUUCACCUACAAAAAUCUUUAAUUUUAAUCUUGAAUAAAGUCCUAAAGAAUAAUUACAUAUUAAUUUAAAAUUCUAAAGAGGAAUCCUAUACGAUAUUUAAAACUAGUUUAAAACCCUAAAAAAAUCCUACAUAUUAUUUAUAAUUUUUCUAGGGUAAAUGGUGGAUAAGAUCUUAAGGACUAACCUAAAUCCAAAUGUAAAAACCUUAUGGUUUCAUUAAAAUGUAACACCUAUUUAACUAACUUCAUGUCAAUAAUUACAGGAUGGAAAAAUGACCUAAAGUUAUUUUAAAACAAAUAGUAAUAAAAUAGGAAAAUCAAUUAAAUUGGCUAAAGUUAAUGAAAAAUUAAAACUCUUCCAAAAUGAAAAAAAUUAAAAGAAAGAUUAAAUAAAUGAAAUAAAUAAGACCUUAACAUGAUGAUAAUAAUAAUACACCUUAUUCAUAAUAAAAUAAAAGAAUCAAAGUAAUAAAUUUUGGAUUAAAUCGAAUGUUUGAAAAAAUCAAAGGGCUACGGGUGUAAAUAAUCCAGAGAGUGAGGGCGGUGCUGCAAAAAAUAGGGUAUUUUUGUAAAUUUAAAAAGUAAGGGGUGGGAAUAAAUUACCUACUUUUGGCACCUAUAAAUGAAAAAAAAAACUAUUAAUUCUUUCAUUUUAACCUCAUUUUUUUUUCAAAAAAAAAAAUCUUCCUCUUUCUCUUCCUCCUUUUAUGUUGGCCAUGGCUCUACCACCGGAGAGCCGUCAGGCUCUCCGGCCUCCGGUGGUGGAGCUACAGCAUACGAUGGUCGGGUUUUUUUUUUGUAAAAUUAAAGUUUUCUUUUAAAAAAUCACUACUUUUCUUAAAAACCGAAACUUUAUUUCAAAAUAGUUGAAAAAAAAUCAAAAGUUUGUUUUAAAAAAUUUAAACUGCUCCUUUAAAAUGUCUAAAAAAUAGAUUUUUAUUUUAAAAAUCUAAACUUUCUCUUUUUUAAAAAAAAUGCUAUUUUUCUUAAAGUUCAAAGAUUUUAUUUUGAAAUAGUUGAAAAAAAUAAAAAAAAUUGUUUUAAAAAUUUAAACCUUCCUUUUAAAAUGAUUAAAAAACAUAUAUAUUUUUUAAAAAUCUAGACUUUCUUUUUUUUUAAAAUCAAAACUUUUCCCAAGAUCAAACUUUAAAAAGAAAAAAAGAAACCUUUAUUUUAGAAAUGGGAGGGAAAAAAACAAGAUUUUUGGGGCUCCUAGGGGCAGAGGACCGACAGUCAGGUGACAUCCCCUUCAUCGGAACCCAAAACCUGAUCCCUCUUGACAUAUCUAUGGCCAAAAAAAAAAAGAUAGAAGAAAAAAAGAGAAAUAACAUGCUUAUUGUUGUUGUUGUUGUUGUUGUUGUUGUUGUUUUACCUUUUUUUAGAAAAAAAAAUAUGGAAAGCCUUUCUCUUUUUCAUUUCAUUUCAUGUUUAUAUAUUGUUUUUUAAUCUUGCUUAUUUGUAAAAGAUGAUGAUAAUAAUAUUUAAUAAUAAUAGUAGUAGUGAUGAUAAUAAUAAUUUGAUCCCUUGACAAGCCCAAAAAAAAAGAAAAAAGUCUCAAAUUGACCAAAAUUAAGUGGGCUUCGAAUGGCCCAACAGAGAACAAAAAUUUAAAUGGGCCUCUAAUUGGACUUGGACAAGAUGGGUGUCUACAACUGUUGCUCUCAUUGUAGAUCCACACUCGAUUAUCCAUCAUAUCUAUUUUUCGCCAAAUCCCAUCUUGAAUAAAACCAACUCCAAAAAAUCCCACCGAACACAGUCAUAUGCUUUAGAAAAAUCCAAUUUAAAGAUCAGAUUGCCCCCUUCCAUCUUUCUCUUUAAUCGAGUGGAUUAUUUCCUUUGCUACUAAAAUUCCAUCAAAUAUUUGUCUUCCUCUAAUGAAUGCACAUUGAGUAUCGCUCACCACCUCUCCGAUGAUCUCCCUUAUUAAUUGAGACAAUACCUUUGCCACUAUCUUGUACAAAGAGCUCACCAAACAAAUUGGCCUAAAAUAAUAUAUUUCGAUUGGAUUUUUAGUCUUGGUAUGAGUGUGAUAAAUGAUGAAUUAGUAGUCCUCUCAAGCUUUUCGGAUAUAAAAAAGUCUAUCAUCAAUCUGAAAUGAUCCUCCUUUACAAUCUCCCAACUUUUUCUAAAAAACACAGGUUAAAACCGUCCAGUCUAGGUGCUUUUGAUUCAUCACAGCUCCAUACUGCCUCUUUAAUCUCAUCCAUCAAAAAUGGUGCCUCCAGUUUCAAAGCCUUCUCCCCAUUUGGCUUUCUAAAAUUCAGUUCCAAGUCCAUUCUCCACUUCCUCACUGGGCAAUUAAAACAAUUUUUGAAAAAUUGUAUUGUCUCUCUUUCAUCUACUUAGGUUCACUGCACCAAUGACUCCCUAUUUUCAAACUAUAUACCAUAUUCCUUUUAGCUUUGAUCUUCGCUGCUCUAUUGAAAAAAUUUGAAUUAGCAUCCCCUUGUUUUAACCAUGUAAUCCUUGAUUUUUGACGCCAAACUGAUUCUUUAAAUUUAAUUGCUUCCCAAAGUUCAGUAUUCAACUUUUUUAAUUCCUCUAUUUCUAACUUAGUCAGUUCUCUGUGUUCACUAGCAUCAUCGAUCUCCUUAAUCCUAUCUUCACUUUCUAUAAUUCUUUUUUCCGAUGCAUUGUCAGCAUCCAAAGGAGAAGGGAAGAGUAGGAGUGGUGAAUAUUAGAAUAAAAAAUAGAGCAUUAUUGGCUAAAUCGAGCUGGAGAUUUGCGAUCAAGAAAAAUGUGUUAUGGAAAAAAGUUAUCCUAACGAAGUAUGUUUUGAGCUUGCAACAGUGCCAAUUUAGGACGACUUGUACAAAAGAUAUGUCAACUGUUUGGAGAGGUAUUGUAGAGAAUUCUAAAGAUGCCAAUACGUCUAAAAGGGUGGGGAAUGAAGCUUUUUGUAGGCGGGUUGGGAAUGGAAGGACGACAAUGUUUUGGGUGGACAUAUGGUGUGGUAAUUGUCCACUAAAAUUGGAAUUUCAAAGGCUGUUUCGCUUAGCAAGACAAAAAGGAGGUACAGUAGCAGAUUACUUGAGAAAUAAUGGAUUUGGUAGAGUAAAGUGGAGUGAACUCUUUACAAGAUCCUUAUUGGAAAGAGAGGAAGAGAUGCUUCGUAGAUUGGAGGAUAAAGUGAGUAGCACGGAGUUAGUUCCUAGUGGAGGAUCGGCUUUGUUGGGUACACGAUCGUAAUUAGGAAUUUAUGGUAAGGAAGUGUGCUAAAUAAUUGAAUUAUUUUGAUAUAAAAUUUUCAAUUGGUGGGAGGCUGAAUGGGAACCGGUGGAAGGAUUUGAUAAAUUAUACUCAUUGUGUUAUAAUAUGAAAUUGGAUAGAAUCUGAAAAAGCUUAUGGUUGAUAUCAAUUUCGGUAGCCUGUUGGACAGUAUGGUUGGCAAGAAAUGGACUUGUCUUUAAAAGAAAGAUGAUGACCAUGGAAACUUUGAUUUUUCAAUCAAAGAUGAGGGCAUUGCUGUGGAUAAGGUCCGCCUAUGAUGAUUUAUUGAUGUAGGAGAGCUCUUGGUGGAUUUGCCCGAACAGGUGCAAGAUAGAUACAAUUAAAUCCAGAUCAUCCUCAUCGAUAUGACGCCCUCCUCCACAAGGAUGUUUAAAGUUCAAUGUAUGUGGGAUAGAAAAUAAGGAUAGUGCAGGUUGUAGAGGUGCUUUGAGAGACAUGGAGGGUGUUGCAAGAGCUCUAUUUUCAAGUCCGAUUGCAACAGAUGGUACUGAUUUGACAGAGGCAGGAGCAGUGCUUUUAGCAUUAGAAGUAUUUAUAUCUCUGGAAUGGAAGAUAAAUGACUCACUGUUGGUAGAAAUUGGUUCUAAAGUGGUGUUCAACUGGUGUACAAACAAGUCGAUGAGACCAUUGUCACUCCAAUCAACAUUUGCAGAUAUUGAGAGGAAAAUUGAGAAGGUAGGUAGUGUUGUAGUUUCAAUGGCAGAAAAGAAAGGAAAUGAAAUGGCCUCAAACUUGGCAAUAGCAGGUAUAAAUCGUGGAGAAAUGUUUAAAGCUAGGUGGUGAGCAUUAGAUUUGAUGUCAAACGUCAGUUUUCUAUUGUUGAAAAUGUUACAUUAUGGGACGCUGUAAAUUUAAACUUUUGAAUGUUGUUCUUGCUGUAUUUACAACAGGUCAAUUCAAAUGAAGAAAAACAAAUAUUUAGUAGGCUUUUUAUUAGUCAAUUUGGAUUUUGGUAAUAGAAAACUAAAAUAUUCAUUAAAAAAAUGGUUGGUUGGAAUUUAAUUUAGAUAUUUCUUAAGGUAGGCAAUUAAAAAAUUGACUUGAUUGGCAUUUUAUGUAGAUAUUUCAUAAGUUUCUAAAGUCAAAUUUUAAAAAUUCGCUUACUUCGCAUUUUAUGAUGAUAUUUUAUUCAAAUAUUUUUAAUGAAUAUGAAAUGUGAGUUUUGCUAUUAAAUUUUGGAUUGUGUUAAUAUGAAAAUUAAAAAUGAUGAAAUUAAAGAGUUUUAAUAGCGAUUUCUCUCUAUGUUGAGAUUCUAGCUCCAAAUGUUGGCAAAUAUUUGAUUGAAAUAAUAUAUGAGAGAUUUGGACGAGUUGUGGAUAUAUUCAUAGUAAAAAAACUGAAGGUGAUACGAUUUUUGUAAAUGAAUGUGAGUUUCAUACAAAAAUAUUUAAGAAACAUGAGAAAUGAAUUAUUUUUAUUUAAGAAAAUAUACUCGUCAAAUUCAUAUCACCAUUUAGUUUAAAAUUUUAAAAUAUUUUUUUAAUAAAAGAAAAAGAAUUGCCAAAUACUUUUUGGAAGCUUUUUUUUUAAUAAAUAAUCAUUUAUUCAUUAUAUAGAUAAAAGGUUGGCAAGAGUGCAAGACUCAUAGUUCCAAACAAACCACAAACAUCAACACCAAAUGAAAGGAAGAAAAACACGAGUACAACAUAUAUCUUAGACCAUUUGACACGGCUAACUAAUUGUAGUAAUAUGAACUUAUGCUAUUGGAUACGAAGCUUUCAUGGCGAUACCACAUAAGCCACCUUUCCUUUCCACAUUCCUUUGAAUCUUCAUAUACCCAUUUUCACCCCAACUUUGUCCCCAUGAAUUCUUAAUCAGCCAAUAGUUUAAACCUUCUUCACUUGUCCCAUAUCCAACAAUGGUGACUGCAUGGGUGAGAGAAUUUCCACAAUCUCCUUUAAACACUCCACCAUUGUAAAACCGAAAGUCUCGUCCAUGGCCUUCAAGUGCAACUGAGACCGGUUGAUUCGUGACGGCUUUAAGCAAUGCUUCUUCGUCGUUUUUAGGCACCAUUUGAUAGCCACUGAUGGUGGCAACUUCGUUUAUCUGUGUGUCGCAAGUUUCUUGCAUUUCUUUAUAUGGGUAGCUUUCUUCAGAGGUUAUUCCUUGGUUUUGGCUAAUGUAAUCGAAAGCAUUCAUCAUCCAUCCUCCUUCGCAACCUUGGUUUCCUCCAUUUCUGCUGCAAUCCAACAGUUGUUGCUCAGAUAAUGGGAUUAAUUUACCAGUUUUGAUUUUGAUUAACCCUUCAACGGCUGCCACUGCUGAAAAUGCCCAACAACAUCCUGCAAAGUAAACCAACAAAUAACCCUUUUCAAGUAUUAGUGAAUAAAUAAAUGCUUGGGGGAGCAGUAUAUAUAAUUAUUUUAAAUUUUUAAUUAAUUUUAGUGUUACGUAUCAACUGAAAACUAACUCGGUUGUGAAAUUAUUAAAAUACUCUCGUAACACCAAUUUAAUCUAGAGUUUUAUGGGUUUAUAUAUAUUAUGGAGACUUACCACAUUGGCCCUGAUUCUUAAUAUGAGUAACGGCAUUUUGGUCCCUCCAAUCGAAGCUUUUCGGAGCGUUUGAGUAGUUUUCAUACAUAAACGGUGUUGAUUCCAACAAUGUGGGAUUGUUCUGCAUCUUGUAUCCAGUGUGAGUUGCAAUGAAUUCAUCCUGUGUCAUGUCUGCAAAUUCAUUGAGGCCUAACUUAAAACUCCUAUUUCCGCCAUUGUUGAAGCUCUCAAUAUAUUCCAAGUUGUCUUUGAAUAUAUUAAGACGCUUCUCCUUCUCUAAUUUGCUCUCAUAUUUUCGACUGAAAUCAACCAUCCAUUGCUCAUGUUUGUCAACAAUGGUGCUUUCAAGAAUUGUUCGACACAUGGCAAGAGAUACCAAUGUCCCAAGAAUUAAAAACAAAAACACAUGGAUUAAACUCAUCAUUUGUUUUUUUUUUUUUUUUGCAAUACAAGCAGAGAUACUUCACUAAUUUAAGGGCUUUUUUCUUUGCUAAUUGCUAAGUUGUGAAGAACUAGCACUCAAUGAACGUAUAUAUAUACUACAAAAAAAUUAUUGAAAUAAAUAUUUUUUUAAUUAAGUCAUCUUAUGUAAAUUCAACUAAAAUGCCAAUCAAGUCUAUUUUUAAAAAAAAAAAAAGAAGAAGAAGAAAAGUAUUUUUUUUCUUAGCAAAAUCCAAAUUUGACAAAUAAAACUCUGCUCACAAUAUAAUAACAAAGAGAAAAUUGUAAUCUUUCUAAUUGAUGAACCCUACUCACAAUAUUUUCUAUUUUUCUUUCUCUUGAAUUGAAAAUCGAUUUUAGGAAAACACCCAAAGUUCACAUUAUGUUAAUUACUACUACAUAUUUUCACUUUUUGACCUUCUAAUCUCUAUUAUUUUGUUAGAAUUGUAACUUUGUGAAAUUAUAUACAAGUUAAUUAUUUUAAUAAGAUUAUGUUUUGUAAUAUAAUUAGGGGAACAUAAGAUGAUGAGUAAUUCCCUUGUUUGGCUCAUUUGGAUGGAAUAUAAGAUUCAAAUGAUUGAUUUACAGAAUGUAAGAUUAUCUAGAAGCACAUUUUAUUAAAUUAUCUUUGUUAUAAAUUUUUUUAACAAGUAUAGUUUCUUUAAUAGUUUUUAGUCUAAAUUUUCAGAAAUUAAUCAUAAAUUAUUAUAUUUUUUUAUUACAGUCUGUAUACUAAUAAGUGUAUAAUAUUUAAAUAAAUUUAUAAAUCAUAAUUAUAAUAAUUAAUGAAAAAUAAUUACGUCACCAAUCAUAAUUAUAACUAUAAUUAAUAUAGUAAUAAAUAAGUUAUUAGAGUAAAUAUAGUAAUUAUAGUUUUAAAGUAUGAUAACUGUUGUUUCACGAUUUAUUAAAAACUUUAAAUUUAUUAAAAUAAUAAAAACAAAGAGUAAGUAUGCCCAAAAUUCAAGAUUAUAUCUAUAAUCUAAGAUAAUCUAACAAAUGAAUUGUAUUAAGAUUACGAUAUCUUGAUACUAUUUUAAGAUGUAAGAUUAAGGGAUGAUUAGAAUAUUGAGAAUCCAAAUAAAAUAAUCUUCUUCUAGAAUGUAACAUUACAUGCAAUAAUGUAAGAUUGAGCCAAUUAAACAUUACAUGAAGUCUUUAGUGAAAUCAUCUAGGCCUUCAUUAUCGUCUCUUACGCCCCACUACAUAAUUGGCGCGCCGAUGAAGCAAAUGAGAAUGUUGACAAGCAGGAUUUGCGCUAUUUUUUCUCUUAAUUUCUUAUGUUUGAUAGUUGCUGCGUGGAAUAGAAAGAUAGACCAGAUGCAAGUCACGGUCAACUGCCCUUAUUUGCAACAGAGCCAGGGUGAUUUUUUUUAUUAAUUUAUUUUGAAUAUUUUUAUGAAAAUAAUGCGUGAACGGACAAAACAAAAUUUUAUUGUGGAUUCAGUUAUUAUAGUAUUUUGAGUUUAAGGUUAACUAAGAUACGAACAGUUUCCUCUGGUUUGCAAAAGUUAUUUCAUCAAUGGUAGUGGGACAUUUAGACUCCACCAUCAUGAGUCGUAGAAUAAUACAUAUUCGUCUAUUAAGAAUGAGGAAUUAAUAAAACAGAAGCAAACCAAGUGAUUGUUUCCUCUGUAGGGAGGACAAGCAAUCUAAGGAUAAGAAAAAGGUUAAAACUUCAAGUUAUCCCAAAGCGAACAAAAAGAAGUAUAAAAACUUAUUAAAAUCUAAGUAUUUUUAUCAACAAGUGUUGGUUACAAUGGUAAGGUAUAUUGCAUUGCAGACGACAUUGUUGGAAGGGACAGUCAUGAACCUAAAACAUAGACCAUAAAACAUACAUGAAUAAUACCCAAAAAAAAGUCCAAGUGUUUCUUUUGUAAUAACAAAAAGAGCACUGCAAGGAAAAAUGCAAAGAGUGUAAGGAUUACCUAGCCUCUAAGGGUGAAGGUAUGAAACUUGAUUAUUGAAACUUGUUUAGCAAAAGACUUAAUAGACCACUAAGUCAUUGAUUAUAGAGUCACUAGUCAUGUUUGUAUUUCUUUGUAGGGGUUUAAGGAAACGAAAAAUCUUCAGGAUAAGAAUCUACCAUUGCGAACCGGAGAUGGGAGCUAUGUGGCUACAAAAACAAUCCGAGAAGUACAUCUUUAUUUUGAUAGUUUUAAGAAGAUUGCUUUGGGAGAUGUUUUCUAUGUACCAAACUUUAGAAGAAAUGUAAUUUAUAUUGCAUGUUUAUUUAAAGACGAUUAUACUGUGACUUUCUGUAAUGGUAUUGCAAUUCAUAGAAAUCAAUCUCUUAUCUCUAAUGGAGGGAUGCAAAAUAAUAUUUAUUUUAUCAAAUCAAAUAUGCACUUACUGCUAGAAAUUGAACUCGUAAAUAAGAAACUUGAAACUUCUCUCUAAUGAGGCAUACUCAUGGCAUCUAAGACUUUAUCAUAUUAAUGAAGAUAAAAUCAUUAGACUUGUGAAAGAUGAGACUUGAAGUUCACUUAAAAAGGUACAUAUUUCAUAAUGAGAGUCCUUCCUUAAAGGCAAAAUGAUCAAGUGACCUUUUAAUGCAAAAGUUACACAAACCGUUCAACCCUUAGAAUUUGUACACACUGAUGUAUGCGGUCUCAUGAACGUUAGUGCUUGAUAUGGUUACGAUUAUCAUGUAACUUUUAUAGAUGAUUAUUCCAAAUUUGAUUUGGUGUACCUAAUGCACUGAAGAGCGAAAUCUACAAUAAAUUCCAAGAGUUUCAUGCAGAAGUGAAGAAACUAUUAGAUUUUCCCAUUAAGGCACUUCGGUCUAAUCGAGGUGAGGACUACUUGUUAGAAGUCUUCUUAGGAUACCUCAUAGAAAAUGAAAUAUUAUCCUAAUUAAUUAUGUUGGGUACUCCACAAGAGAAUAACAUAGCAGAGAGAAGGAAUAGAACUUCACUAGGCAUGGUUUAUUUAAUGUUAAGUGAUUCACAACUGUCAAUAUUCUUUUGAGGAUAUGCAUUAUAGACAACUUGAUAUAUUUUGAAUGAUGUACCAACUAAGACCAUAUAAAACUCCCUACCAAUUGAUAGAGAAAGAAUCAAGAGUAAAGCAUUUGAGGAUUUGGGGAUUCCUAGCCUAUUGGAAAUAUUAGUCUAGAAAAUAGUAUUUUUAAGCAUAGCAAAAGAUUGAUUUUAUUUUAAAUUGAGCCCUUUUUAUAUUUAUAGUAAUAAAUCCAUAACUGAAAUUAUAUUUGUGUUUUAAACGAGGUGUUUAAAGUCAAUCCCACCUUUCUACCGAAUGAUUUUAUUAGCUAUUCUCGAACCCAAAUUGGUUUGAGUGGGGGCUCUUCAUAGAAAAAAAACAUUUUAUUCACUUUCAAUGGGAAAAUUUUAUAACAGGAAACUAUGCGUUUUCCCUAAAAAAAUAUUCUAUAAUAUAAUAUUUCACUAUUUUCUUAAAAAAUAAAGACGCUCAAUAGAGUGUGUACAAUUGGAAAAAAUUUAGGUUUGAAAACAAUUUUCUUACACAACGAAAAAUUAAAAUCUUGAAAAUUGACUCGGUUUGUGAUUUUUAUAGCAAUAAGCCCUAACCAAAUUCAUACCUGUGUUUUCAGCUUAGCGAAUGUUCGCUAUUCUCGACUUUCAACUAAAUGAUCUUCUAUUCUUGUACCACGAACUUCUUCGAGUGUGGGCUCGAACCAAUUGAAUCGAAACACAGAACUAUAAAAAGUUUUCUCUUUUAUUUAGGGUUAAAACAAAAUUUCUCUCUUCUUUAAUAGAAACUGGUAGAAUUCUUAUUCAGGAAAAAUAUGUUUAGUAGUUGAUAAUAAAUUCUCUUUAUUUUUUGGUAGAGUAACAAUCUCUCAAAGUUGUGUAUAAUACCAUACUAUUGUCAUCUAUUUAUAAGAAGAAAAGGUAGAACCAUUGUUUUGUUGUAGUGGUUUAUUUUAAAUAGAAAAAUAAUUUCUUAAUUAGAGUAGUAGUGGGGUGGACGACACACCCUAGUAUUCCUACUAGGGUUGUCACCCCCUUCAUGUUAUAUGAGGGGUUUUGGGCCUCUCUCACACCGGGUCCAAUUACGAGUACUUCUUAAACCUUUUGAAUCAGUACUCUAUAAUGUGAUCCAACUAGAUUUGGUUUUUCUAUUUACCAAAAUAAACUUUAAUAUUCUAUAUUAAAAAAAUUUCUCAUCCCUAUUUUACCCCCAAUAAAAAUUUAACGAUUUUCCCCAUUGUAAAAUUUUUGGCAAUUUUUCUCCUAAUAAAAGUUCGAGAAUAUAUAUUCAAUAUUUCAUAACUCAACAUGUUCACUGUGACUAAAUGAUUUAUUUUCAUUUUUGGGCUUCAAAAUAACUCAAAAAUAUAAACUUGUUUUUCCAAUCAUUUUUAAGUAAUCCAUAUAGAAUUGCAAAUGGAUCAUUUCCAUUUCCAUUUCUAUUUCCAUUUUUUGAAACCUACAUUCAUUUAAAAAUGAUUCCAUUUUUUCAUUUUGAAAAAAUCAUAAUCAUUCAUGAAUGUUUUUCAUUUCUCUUUUGCUUUUCAUUCUAUUCAUUUCUAUUCAAACUCGCAAUUCAUUUCUAAUUUCAACAAGCUAGCAGAAGGACUGAUUGUAUAUAUGUAAUUAGGGCUGAAAUGAUUUGUAAUUAAGUUUUCGCUUACCGCCUGUUACUUAUAAACACAUUUCGUCACAAAUUCAUUCCACUAUAGUAUCGUUAUUGAGCUCUACCUAAAGGCAUACCAUUACAAAAGCAACUACUUUAGUGCUCGUCCAAUGACAUUUUCAUAAGUGUGUCACCCUCAUAGGAUAUCCUUGAUCUUUUUGGGAUAAUAUCUGCUCUCCCAAUAUGAUCCUUUUUUUUCUCAUGGUAACCAUUACAUCUUCCUUCAUGAAAAAUCAUUCACUAUUGUCGAAACCAUUUUUUUGAUAAAACGGGUUCGACUUAAAUUGUGAAAACGAAAAUGGAGUCGCCACCGAUCCUUUUUGUUAGGUGUGAUCGGAUCACCUCGUAAUAGUUGUUUUAACAAAAUAUUUCGAUUUUAUCAAAACAAUGAUUUUGGUCUGGGAGUCGGUUACGCACGAGGAAGGGUUAGCACCCUUGAUGCGCCCAAAAAUUGGUACCUAAUCGAUUAAUAGAUGUCUAAAUGCCGAAAGUUGAAAUUUUUAAAAAAAUUUAAAAUACGAUCUUUUUUUAUUAAUGUAAGUUUAGAAAAAUCAUUUGAGCAAAUUAAAAAAAGAUCACAGACCCGCUUAUACCAAAGUAACGAAAUAUUGCAUCACGUAAGUUAGGACGCGGUAUUUGAAACUUUAGAGAAUAAGCUUGUCUUGAAUUUUAUUUAUAUUUCAUAUUUUGAAAUUUAGGAAGACAUUUCGCUGUUUAGGUUUGAUGAGAAAAAUUGAAACCCCGUGAGUUAGAGCACGAUUUCUUGGGUUACCUAAACGCGAACCGUUACCUUAUAAUGAAAUUUUUCAUUUUUGAAAUUUUAAGAAGGAUACUUUGUUAUUUAGGUUUAGCGAUAAAAUCGAAACCCCGUAAGUUAGGGUACGAUCUCUCGAAAACGCAAAGUUAUUGCCUUAUCGAGAUUCCUUUCAAUUUUUUUGAAAUAUUUUAAAAGGAUAUUUUGUUAUUAGUUUUAACGAGAAAGACCAAAACCUCGUAAUUUAGGGCACGGUUUUUUUCGUAUUUCUAACAUGCAAAAUAUUUCUUUAUUUUGGGAAAUUUUUCUUUUUGAGUAAAUAUGAAUAAAAUACUUAAGGGGCACAUGUGUAGUUCAUUAUGCUUUCAAAGAAAUCGUUAACACGUAAAAGGAACUAUACAUGGCUAUUAAUAAUAAUACAACAUACAUUGAAACAAAGGCCUAAUAUGCAUCAUAAAAUAAAAAUGUUUUAAUAAUACAACAUACAUUGAAACAAAGCCUAGCCUUGGAACCUCGUCGUCGUCUGCCGCAUCUUCACUGCAACACCACCGAGGACAGUGGCCGGAGAUAUGCGAGAAAAGGGCUUUUUAGCCCGUGCCCGUAAGAAAAGAAGAACAAAAAGGGGUUCUUCAUCGUCCCCUUCUUAAAACGAAGCCCAGGUACGUUUCUUUACUUUUUUUAUAUUUUUGAAUGUAUAUAAAAGAAUAAUAAAAAUAUUAAAAAGAAAAUUGCAUAAAUAUUGAAAACAGAAAAACGAAAGUACAAAAUCACCUUAGUUUUUGCUUUUUUAUUUCUAAUGUGCGUAAAAAUAUACAACGAGAAUAUUUUGGCUUUUAUAGCCAGGUUACAGCCCUUUAAUUUCUAUCUUUUUGUCAUCUUGCUAUUUAAAUUCUCUGUUGUUGCAUGUGGUUCGUUUUGCAGAUGUCAGACACGUGGAUGGCCAAUGAUAUGUGAGUCUUGAGCGAUGUCGGCGUGCGCGAGGGAGGCUGGCAGAACGUGAGGCACUGGGGCAGUGGGCAGAGGCGUACGGUGCUGAGGCAUUAGGCAGAGGCGUGCAACGCCUUAGGGUUUGCUUCUCUGCUGAAUGUUUGUUGUGGGCUGAUGUUGAUUUGGGCUUAAGGUUAUUAAUUGGUCUUGGGUUGUUGUUUGGGCUGGAUUUUGGGCUUGUUUUUUAUUUAUUAUUUUUUGGUUUUAUUUUCUGGUUUUGGCACUGGGCCCGGGUAAAAUUGGGCUAUUAUAACUAUCAAAUAAUGAUCAAGUCAUCCAUCACAUAGAGGAACGACAUGUUGCCACGUUUACUUUUAAUCAACCAUGUAAUGCAUAUGAGAUGAUAUCAUUUAUCCAUGUCUCGACCUAUGACUUUCACUAUUGUGAAUGACGCUAUAUACUGAAGAAGUCAUACACCCAAUGAAUUAGCUUUCAGUUUCGUAUCUAUUUGAACUCGAGUUUUUACUUACAUCAAAGUGUACAUAAUAAUUGUAACCUUCUCUUGCACUAAUACUCAUGGGGCCACAUAAGUUAGUUUGAACAAGUUAUAGGGGUUUUCUGACCCUUGAUCCUUUUCCAUUAAAAGAUCGCUUAGUUAUCUUACCUUCCAAGCAAGAUUCACAUUGUGGAAGAUCAACUUCUUUAAGCGAACUUAAGAUGUCAUCUUUGACAAGUCUAGUGAGUUUUUCUCAGUUAAUAUGACCAAGUAUCAAAUGCCAAAGGUAUGCAUUAGAGUGAGAAGUUUUAAGUCUUUUAUUUGAUAUUUUAGUCUCAAGUAAUGUGAAAGUCUUUGGUUUGAUAAAAUAAAGAUUAUUGACAUCCACCCAUUACAAUUAAGAUUGUGAGUCCAAAAUAUUACAAUUCCAUUGUUAAAAGUCACGGUCAACAUAAAUUAAGAUUGCGAUUUGAAAAUAUUGCAAUUCCAUUACAGAAACAAGCAACAUAAAUUACAUUUCUUUUGAAAUUUGAUACAUAGAAAACGUCUCUUAAAAUAAUCAUCCUAAAAUUUUCAAAAUAAAGAUGUACAUCUCCCAUUACUUCAUCUACCACACUUGUCCCGUUCCUAGACCACAACGAUAAGCUCUUAUAUCUAAGAUCCUUUCUUUCCUCAAACCCCUAUAAAUAAACACAAACAUGAUUAGAGGCUCCCGAAUCAAUGACAUAGUGCUCUAUUGAAUCCUUCACUAAACAAACUUCUAUCAUCAAGAGUUCCAUGCCUUUAACUUUGGUGGUCAAAUAUUCCUUCCACUAUUUACAUUUUGGCUUGAAGUGUCCUUUCUUGUUGCAGAAGAAGCAUCUAGACUUAGAUAAGUCUUUCAGCUUCCUAGUUCUCUUCCUUUCCACAUAUGGUGGCCUCGAGACCAUAGCCAUGCCUUUCUUAGCACGCUUUGUAACAACCCUUACCCGUCUCUGUCACCUGAUUAGGGUUACGAAAUGCUACCAUACAAAAUAGGAUAGAAACAAGCUAUCACAAUUCAAAUUUUAUUUUUAAAAAAUUAUUCAUUAAAAUCUUGAAAAUCUACAAUAAAUUCCAAGAGUUUCGUGCAUAAGUGAAGAAACUAUUAGAUUUUCCCAUUAAGGCACUUCGAUCUAACCAAGGUGAGGAAUACUUAUUAAAAGUCUUCUUAGGAUACCUCAUAGAAAAUGAAAUAUUAUCCUAAUUAAUUAUGUCGGGUACUCCAAAAGACAAUAACAUAGCAGAGAGAAGGAAUAGAACUUCACUAAGCAUGCUUUAUUCAAUGUUAAGUGAUUUAAAUUAGUUCUAAACAAUAGUAUAUUGUCAAAAUUUGAAGCACAAUUAUAACUAUUUCAUAUAAACAAGUCUACCAAUUCUAAUUUAUUAAACAAAAAUUAUCUUAAUUAAAAUGUUAUUUCAAUAAAAUGUUUAAAUUUCACCUAAAAAAAUCUAUUAAUCAUAUUUUAUUAAAUGAAAAUAAUCUUCAAUGAGUGGAAUUAAAUAUAUCAAUUCAAUAAACUAUUAUGUUCCCUGAUUAAAUACUUUACUAUGAAUUUGGAACAUUAUAAACUUAUAAAUUCAUUACUUGAAUUUAAUAACUUAUUAUUAAUUAAUUUAUUUAUUUAAUUUGAUAACUUAUAUUGAUUAAUUGAACUUGUUAGAUUUAUGAACAACAUAAUUAGUCAUGUGAAAGAAUGUACAGUAAAAGAUGCAUAAAAAUAAUAAUGUGUGCACCAACUAUAUGUUUUUUUUUAAUUUUGUUGUUUGGAUCUUUAAUUCUUUUUUUCUGAACAUAAUUUUUAUUUUUUUAUUUGAUGGAAGUACAUAGUAUAAAUUUUAUGCAAGUGUAUAACAAUUGUCUUUCUAUACUAGACAAAUUCUUGAAUAAAGUUAUUAUACAGAAGGUUCGACUGUUUAAUCAAAAUCUAAAGUCUUUAGUGAAAUCAUCUAGGCCUUCAUUAUCGUAUCUUACGCCCCAUUACAUGAUUGGCGGGCCGAUGAAGCAAAUGAGAAUGUUGACAAGCAGGAUUUGCACUAUUUUUUCUCUUAAUUUAUCCAAUUCUCUAUAAUAGUCACCCGUUAUAAUAAUAUUUUAUUAUAAUAGUUAAGUUUCUAGUGGAAUCAGUUUUUUUAUGUUUUAUUUUAAUCUUGUAUAAUAGCAAGAGAUACCAAUGUCCCAAGAAUUAAUUUUUCCUAUAGGACAUGCUUUCAGUUAUGUUAGCUAUAGGACGUGUUUUGGUAUAAAUUAACAAUUCAACUUUGUUGGUUAGAUGGUUAAAUAUUAAUAUUUUUGUUCUUAAAUUUCGUGUUUGAUUCGUCUUCUACUCAAGGACAAAAGUAUUAACAUUUAACCAUCUGAUCAAAAGAGUUGCGUUAUCAAUUUUUAGGAUGCGCUUUCAGCUGAUAUGACUGAAAGCAUAUCCCGUAGGUCACGUUUUUCUUUCUUUCUCCAAAAACAACAUAUUUUUUUUCUUUUUCAGCAUAUAUACAUAAAUUAGCCUUUUAAACCAUACUUGAGUAUCAAAUAAUAUUUCAGUAUUUUUUAUAGGAAAUGUUUAAAUCAAAUAACUAAAAAGAGAAUAAAAAACUCAAAUGUAAAAGGGUUGAUGAGAUUAUUCAUAAAUACGAAAUUUGUUUUUAUAAAUAUACUUACAUAAAUACAUAAUGGAUGUGACAUAGUUGAUGUUUGUUUUUAUUUUUCAUGUGUAGCACUAUCAAAUCUACUUGCACCAAAAUUCUAACCCAUACGAUAAUUCAUUACUUUAGUUGGCGCAGCAAAUAAUGAGAGCGGGAUUUGUGCCCAAAAUUAUCUUAUUUUCCAUUGUGUGAUUGGAUGACAACUUCCAUCCCUCCAUGCCUCAAAUAUCUAAACAUACAUUGAAAUCAAUUUUUCUUAUAUUUCUUAAUUCCUUUACUUCUUAACAAUUCUCCCUCUUUGUCUCAGAUUUAUGUAUAAUUUAUCAAGAGUCUACCUUUUUUUUAAUUCUUAAAUCUAAAAUCUUAAUAUUAAUCACUUCAAAUAUUCAUAUAUAAUGGGCGUCGAAAAUAAGUUUUAUAUACCACUAACUAGUUCACUUUCCAAGUAAGGAUAUAAGUCCCAAUUGUUGACACCAUUUUUUUUAUUCAAAACGGGGUUGACUUGGGGUUUUGAAAAAUGAAACGGGAGUCGCCACCAAUCUUUUUUUAUGAGGUGUGAUUGGAUUACCUCGAAAAGUGGUUGUUUUUAAUAAACGGUUUGAUUUGAUUAAAACAAGUUUGGUCCACGAAAUUCAGAAAACGGGUUCGGGAGUCGGUUACGUACGAGGAAGGAUUAGCACCCUCGUAACACCCAAAAAUUGGUACCUAGUUGAUUAACUAAUGUCUUGAUGUCGAAAAUUGAGAACUUUGACGAAUUUUAAAAAUACGAUCCUUGUAUUAAAACGUUGAAAAUUUCCAGGAAAAGGGGCAUAUUUCACGUUAUUCGAGAAAGAGGAUCAUAUCCAGUAAGUUAGGACACAAUGUCUCGAAUUCUCGAUACGUAAAUGAAUGCCAAAAUUUUACUUAUUUAAAAGACAUUUUAUUAUCUCGAGUUUAGGAAAGGGAUCAUGCCCAGUAAGUUAGGGUACGAUUCUCUCGAAUCUAAACACGAAAUAAUAUUUAUUCAAAACAAAUUUUGUUAUAUCGAGUAAAAUAAAACAUGAAAAUCGUAGUAAAAACAUGUGAAAGCAAAUUACAUUGUUAUGAUGCAUAGCUGAACCAUAAUGGGUACGAAAAUAUGAAAAUGAUACAAACAAUAGCACAAUAUAAAAUAAAUAAAAGGUUAAAUCUACAACGUUCAAAAUAACGAUCAUAUAUAAACGAAUUAAAUUAAAGCAUGCAUCCGAAAUAAUAAUGAAGAUGAAGUAAAUAAAUACUGAAUACAAUUCAAAAUGUAAAGAGGUAUGUAUACGUAUGUAAAUAUAAAUUAAAAUAUGUAUGCAUAUGUGAAUUAUAAAAUAUGUAGAAAAUACCUAUGUAGAAUAUAUUUUAAAAUAUAAAGAAUAUAAAAAAGUACAUAUAGGUGUAAGUAUGUAAAAUUAUGAAACAUAAAGAAUAUAUAAAAAAUUGUAUAUUUUUUGAAAGUAUGAAGUGUAUGCAAGUAUGUGUAUAUAUAUAUAAUAAAGGUGUAUGAAAGUAUAUUUUAUACACGUGUAUUUAUAAAAUGUGUAUAAAUAUAUAUUGAUUUACCAAUACAUAUGGAUAUAUAAUUAUAGAAUAUAUAUAUAAAAUAUUUACAUAUAUACGUUUAUGCGUAUAUAAAAGUAAGCUAUUAUAAAAUAUGAGCAAGCAUAAUACAUAUAUAUAGAGAGAAUAAAAAUGAAGUUGAAAACAAUAUAAAACUACUUAAUAUAUUAAUAUAAUAGUAACAAAAUAAAUAAACAGAAAAUAAAGCUAAUAAUAAUUAAUAAUAGUAGUAAUAAUAAUAAUAGUAAUAAUAAUAAUAAUAACACUAAAAUAAUUAAUUAAACAAUAAAAUUGCUAAAAAGGGUUUAAAUUGAAAUAAAAACCUAAAUACUGGGCGAUUUUGAUAUAAAUAAAAACUAAAAGGAUUAAAUUGCAACACACGCCAAACAUAGAGGGACCAAAAUAGUAAAUAAGCCGAAGCCCCGAAACGCGGCGCAACAGUGGGCCAAAUUGGAACAAAAAUAAAAUUCUGGGGCUAAAUUAAAAAUAAAAGGAAAUAGCGAAAUAGGACCAAAUUAAAACACGCCGCAAAUCGGAGGGACUGCACACGCAAAUAUCCCCCUUAUCGAAAACGCGCGGAUCCUCCCCAAGGUCGGGUCACCGCGCGGGUCAGAGACCAAAAUGACACCGUUUUGGUCUCUGAACCCUAAAUUCAAAAACGGCACCGUUUUACAGGGUAUUUAAACCCAUUUUUACAUCAAAAAAACACUUCAGCCGUUUUUAAAAAAAUAUAAAAGGGGAGCCCCUUUUCUCCCUAAGAAGUCCGGCCAUGUGGGUUUCCUUGGCCCCUGUUGCACCGCCGCUCGGCUCGCCGCACCGCCACCACCCCGACGACUGGCGAAGCGCCAGAAAGACGUUCAAAGCCCCAUCCUCCGGUGAGUUUCCUUUUUCCUUUCUUUUUUUUGAUUAUAAAUAUAUUAUGUAUAUAUAAGUAGAUGAAUAAAAGAAAAUAAAUAAAUAAAAGGUUUAAAAUCUGUAAAAAUGAAAACAAAAGGGAUCAGAAAUCACCUUUGAAACUUAUCUUUUAUUACUUUGGUAAUAUUUGUAUUUUUUUGAUACCUCAAAUUCUAACCCAAGAAGAAGAAAAAAACGGGGUACAUAUUAGGCUUUUUAUAGCUGAUUUUUGGCUACUGUUUCUGUUGUCUUUUUGUGUUGUUUUCUUUUUUGCAGGUGACCGGCGGCGCAAGUAGGGUGAUUGGAGCAAGUGGUGGUAGGUGCGACGCAGCAGUGGCGGUGGCAGAGGAGGCCAAGGGUCGAAGAGGGCGACGCCUAGGGUUUCAGUCUCUGAAACCCUAGGCUAAUUUUUUUAGAGAAAAUGGACCUGGGCUAUUGGGCUCCGGGUUUGGGUUAGGGGCAUUUAGGUUUGGGCUGGGUCUGCUGGGUUUGGUUUAAUUGUAAUUGGGCUUGGUGUAUUUGGGUAGGUUAAUUUGAAUUAAGCUUGGGCAUUGGGCCGGGCAAAAUAUGGGCUUCACAGCUGCCCCUCUUUGCUCGUUGUCGUGUAACGAGAACAGAGAAAAGACUAAAAAAGACCAAUUUUGCCCGGUCUCACCGGAUUUCGACUUCUUUUGACGCUUCUCUUCUUCAAGUAGCCACAUUUCAAUCCACUGUGUCUUGUCGCUUCAAUCCGCUCUACUGCACUUCAGCAAGAUCUGACUUGUAGCUUCAAUCUUCUUCAUAGCAACUUCAGGAGACGAGAUUCAUGGUUUUGGUCUACUCCACUGCAACGUCAGGGAGAUAAGGCUGGAUGCGAUCUGCUCUACUGCAACUGCAGAGAGAUAAGUUCUGUGGUUUUAAAUCCGCUCCACUGCAACUUUAGGGAGAUAAGAUUGGCUUCUUCUGUCUGUUUAACUGCAAUGUCGGGGAAGUAAGAUUCGCCAUCAUAACUUCAAUCUGUUUGACUGCAAUGUCGGGGAAGCAAAAUUUGCUGUCGUAGCUUCAAUCUGUUCCACUGCAUCGCCUGGGAAGUAAGAUUCGCCGUUGUGGCUUCAAUUUUUUUAAUUGCAAUGUCGGGGAAGUAAGAUUCACCAUUGUAGCUUCAAUAUGUUCCGCUGCAUCGCUUGGGAAGUAAGAUUCACCGUUGUGGCUUCAAUCUUUUGAAUUACAAUGUCGGGGAAGUGAGAUUCGCCAUUGUAGCUUCAAUCUGUUCCGUGGCAUCGCUUGGGAAGUAAGAUUCGCCGUUGUGGCUUCAAUCUUUUGAAUUGCAAUGUCAGGGAAGUGAGAUUCGCCAUUGUAGCUUCAACUUAUUCCGCUGCAUCACUUGGGAAGUAAGAUUCACCGUUGUGGCUUCAAUCUUUUGAAUUGCAAUGUCGGGGAAGUGAGAUUUGCCAUUGUAACUUCAAUCAUUGUAGCUUCAAUCUGUUCCGCUGCAUUGCUUGGGAAGUAAGAUUCGCCGUUGUGGCUUCAAUCUUUUGAAUUGCAAUGUCGGGGAAGUGAGAUUUGCCAUUGUAGCUUCAAUCUGUUCCGCUGCAUCGCUUGGGAAGUAAGAUUCGCCGUUGUGGCUUCAAUCUUUUGAAUUGCAAUGUCGGGGAAGUGAGACUCGCCGUUGUAGCUUCAAUCUGUUCCGCUGCAUCGCUUGGAAAGUAAGAUUCGCCGUAUGAUCUGUUCUUUGGGGAACAUGACCUAUAUGAACCUAUUUAUGCCUAGUGAUCAUGAUCGAAAAUGAAUCAGAAUAUCCUGGCUAAAUGUGUAUGCAUGAAUGCAAAAUGAAAAUGAUCUUUCAAUGUUUGAGUUAUUAUUGUCCCUUGCUCAAUAAGGUCUUUUUGCCAACGCGUCCGAAUGCUAUCUUGUCCGGUUGGUAAUGCUCAUCUCUUACUUGGUCAGAUUGCCCCAACUAUAAUCUUCAAAGUUCAACUCACUGAAUGCAAAAUGUGAAUCAUCUUUCUCCCUCUGUGACCCAAUAAUAGAAAGACCUGGCCUUUUCUCGUUCCUCUGUUAUCAUAAUUCAAUGAUACAGAAUGUGAAAACUCUUUGGUCUCCUACACUAUUCCCAGGGUGUCAUACCAAAUGUUUAUACACAAUUGCAAAAUUUUCUCCAAAAAAACCUCUUUUCAUCACUUGGUGAUUAUUGAAGCUUUGUCACCAAUAUGACAUCUUGCCAUUUUGUUUAAUCCAUGUUUGGACAACAAAGUUUGAAAGGAUAGUCCUAUCUUAGACUUUUUCCUUUUAGGCACUUUAGAUUUGGUGUGUUCUAAACAACAGUCCUGUUUCAGGUUCCUUCAUUUUUUAGAAAUUUCUAGAGUAAUAUGCAAAACUCCUUUUGCUUGAACAUUCAGUCCAUUAAUCGUUAUUUCAAAUGUUUUGAACAAGAUUAUCACAAUGGACCAACAAAAAUGUUAUUGAGAACAAAUCUCAAAAUGAAUAAGUUAGUUAAGAUGACAAAUUUUGCUAAGAUAAAAAACAAUAGAUAAAAUGGAAUUUUAUUGGGGAGCAAAACUUGAAAUGAAUACAUUAAUCAAGACAACAAAUUUUGCCAAAAUUCAAAAUAUAUAAGAUGACGACAGGUGCCCUAGAUAUCGCAGCAUGAGCUUCUCUGCAUAAGCUUUAAUAUGUGUUUAGGGAAUCUACAAUAUUUUGUCGAUGCCCCAAGAUGUCGCCUAUCCUUUCUUACUGAUUCAAGUAUAGUGAGACCUCCACAUGCCCCAGAUCUUGAUCAAAAUUUGAGCUAUUUCGUUCACUUCAUACCUCAUCAAAAUUUGAGUCGCCUUUUUUAGGUUUUCAACUCAAAUCCCCUUUGGUCUCAAGGCGCCCUUUAUGGGUUUUCACCUUGGCCUCUCCUUUUUUUUAAGCGAAAUAUUUCUUGACUGAAUUUGAGUUUACAGGAUUUGGCAGGUUUUUACCAUCCAUCUCGCUCAAGAUCAAAGCUCCUCCAGAAAAGGUCUUUUUUACCACAUAAGGACCUUCCCAAUUUGGCAUCCAUUUUCCUCAAAAAUCUUUUUUUAGAGGAAGAAUUAUUUUCAAAACCAGGUCCCCCUCGUAAAAUUCUCUGGGAUGAACUUUUUUGUUAUAGGCUCGUAUAAUUCAUUUCUGAUACAUCUGACCGUGACGAAUAACUUUUAACCUCUUUUCUUCUACCAAGUUUAGCUAGUCAUAUCGAGAUUGAAUCCAUUCAGCCUCAUCUAACUUUAGUUCAGCUAAUACUCGGAGAAAAGGGAUUUCUACUUCUAUGGGUAAAAACGCCUCCAUUCCAUAGACUAAAGAAAACGGUGUUGCCCCAGUAGAGGUCCUAAUGGAGGUACGAUAUGCCAGGAGGGCGAAAGGUAAUUUCCCGUGCCAGUAUUUGUAGGUUUCAGUCAUUUUCCCUACAAUUUUCUUGAUAUUUUUGUUAGCUGCUUCUACGGCACCAUUCAUUUUUGGGUGAUACGGUGACGAAUUAUGAUGUCUGAUCUUGAACUGACUGCAAACUUCUGCUAUUAAGUUGUUGUUCAAGUUCAGCGCAUUAUCGGAUAUGAUCUUUUCAGGCAUCCCGUAUCGACAUAUGAUCUCUUUUUUUAGAAACUUGCUAACCGCUGACUUCGUGACAUUAGCAUAUGAAGCAGCCUCCACCCAUUUAGUGAAAUAAUCAAUAACCACAAAGAUAAAACGAUGCCCAUUAGAAGCCUUUAGAGAUAUUGGCCCGAUGACAUCCAUUCCCCACAUGGAGAAAGGCCAUGGAGAAACCAUAACAUGAAGGGGUGAAGGUGGUGCAUGCAUUUUGUCACCAUAAAUCUGACAUUUAUGGAACUUUUUGGCAUAAUUAAUGCAAUCCCCUUCCAUGGUUGACCAAUAGUACCCAAAUCUCAUAAUUUGUUUAGCCAUCGUGAAACCAUUGGCAUGCGUCCCACAGAUACCUUCAUGUACUUCUUCCAAAAUUUUCUUGGCCUCGACAGCAUCCACACAUCUCAACAAUACUUGAUCUUUUCCCUUUUUGUACAAGAUAUCCCCAUCUAGGACAUAAUCAAUGGCUAAUCUCCUUAACGUCCUCUUAUCAUUUUCCGUCGCAUGGUCGGGGUAUUCACGACUUUUUACAUAUCGCAAUAUGUCCUGAUACCAGGGGUGAUCAUCUUUUUCCUCUUCAUCAUCAAUAUUGUAACAAUGGGCUAGAGUCUCAUGAAUACUAAUCUGGAUAGGCUUCAUAUCUUCUGGUUUGUUCACUUUGAUCAUAGAGGCUAGAGUGACCAAAGCAUCUGCCAUCUGGUUUUCAUCUCGUGGGAGAUAAUAAAUGGUGACACUGACAAAUUCCUCAAUCAAUUCCAAGACCAAUUUUUGAUAACAGACUAACUUCGGGUCUUUCAUUUCCCAUUCCCCUUUUAGAUGGUAAAUUACUAAUGCGGAGUCCCCGUAUACCUCUAGCACCUUAAUUUUCCGCUCUAUGGCUGCCCGGAUGCCAAUAAUGCAAGCUUCAUACUUAGCCAUGUUAUUUGUGCAAUCAAAGUCCAAUUUGCUAGUGAAAGGGUAAUGAUCUCCAGUAGGGGACACAAGUAUUGCCCCAAUUCUGUUGCCUAUAGCAUGUGAUGCUUCGUCAAAAUUCAGCUUCCAAGGACCACCUUCUUGAAAAUCUUUUUCUGCAAUUGCAACAUACAUCAAAUCCUCAUUUGGGAAAUCGAAGUUUAGUGGCUCGUAAUCCUCCAGAUCUCUACUUGCCAGGAAGUCCGCUAUUGCACUCCCUUUUACCGCCUUUUGGUUCACAUAGACUAUGUCAAAUUCAGAUAGAAUAAUUUGCCAUCGGGUCAUUCUCCCAUUCAGAGCAGUUGACUCCAUCAGGUAUUUUAGAGGGUCCAACUUAGAGAUUAACCUGGUUGUAUGGUACAACAUGUAAUGUCUCCAAGUUGUCCAGAUCAGGGCACAACAUAGCUUCUCAAUUGGCGAAUAUCUCGUUUCGCAUUCAGUGAACUUCUUGCUGAGAUAGUAGAUUGAUCUUUCUUUUCGUCCUGACUCAUCAUGUUGACCAAGCACGCAUCCCAUAGAAUUUUCAAAUACUGCCAAAUACAGUAUGAGCGGCUUGUCUGGCAGGGUGGCAUCAGCACUGGGGCGUUGGACAAGUAAUGUUUGACUUUUUCAAAAGUUUUCUGACAUUCCUCAUCCCAUACUCCUGGAUUGUGUUUCUUAAGGAGACGAAAUAUAGGGUCGCAUUUCUCGGUUAGCUGUGAAACGAACCGAGCGAUAUAGUUUAGUCUUCCUAGAAAACCUCGAACCUCUUUUUGAGUACGUGGUGGAGGUAAUUCUUGUAUUGCCCUUACUUUGUCAGGAUCAAUCUCAAUUCCUCUCUCACUGACCACGAACCCCAGCAAUUUUCCUGAUCUGACUCCGAAUGUGCAUUUCGCUGGAUUUAGUUUUAGCUGAAAUUUUCUCAACCUUGUAAAUAAUUUCUUAAGGACCUGCACAUGUUCCUCUUCUGUUUUAGACUUUGCAAUCAUGUCAUCAACAUAGACUUCUAACUCUUUAUGCAUCAUAUCAUGGAACAGUGUUACCAUGGCCCUCUGAUACAUUGCCCCCGUAUUUUUCAACCCAAAUGGCAUCACUUUGUAACAAAAGGUCCCUCAUAGGGUUAUGAAUGUAGUUUUCUUCAUAUCCUCAGGAUGCAUCUUGAUUUAGUUAUAUCCAGAGAAACCAUCCAUGAAAGAAAACAGCGAAUGCCCUGCUGUGUUGUCUACCAAGGCGUCGAUGUGCGGCAAGGGGAAGUUAUCUUUUGGGCUAGCCUUAUUUAAAUCUCUAUAAUCUACACACAUCCACACCUUCCUAUCCUUCUUAGGGACAGGUACGAUAUUGGCUUCCCACUCGGAAUAUUUGACCACUUGCAGGAAUCCAGCAUCGAAUUGCUUUUGCACCUCCUCUUUUAUUUUUAAUAAAACAUCAGGCCUCAUUCUUCGGAGUUUUUGCUGAACAGGCUUGUAAUCUGCCUUUAUAGGAAGACGGUGAACUACGAUAUCAGUGCUUAACCCAGGCAUAUCUUGGUAUGACCAUGCGAAGACAUUUUUGAACUCUCGAAGCAACUCAAUGAGGUCUUGUUUUACUUCUUCAGUUAUGCACGUGCCAAUCUUCACCACCUUUCCCUCUUCUAGGGUCACCGUCUCUACCGUCUCCUCAUGAGGCAGGAUUUAUUUUUCUUCCUGCUCUACCAUCCUCAAUAGGUUCGGAGAUAGGUUGCAAUCUGUGUUAUCUUCAAAAUCUUGAGAUUGCUCUAAACACAUAUCUCGGUCAAAAGAAUUUUCUGAGUCCAUAGUAGAGUCACUCAUGUCAUUGAUAUCUUGGGACCUGUUAUGGGUACCGAAGAAUGUACAGGGAAUGUAUGAAUUUAAAAGUUCUUAUUUAGUAUGAUUAUGAAUUAAUGAAUGAAUGAUUUGGAAUAAAAGGCAUUCAAGAUGACUAUUCAUGCGAAAUAAUGAAAAGAGUUUCAAAAUAAUAUAUACUCAAAAAGAAAAUACGAUGAUAUAUUUCAUUGAAGUCACAAUGUUCAAACAUAAGCCCAUUUCAUUUCACAAAAGUUUUCAUUUUCUCUAGGCUUAAACAGUUAGUAUGUCUUGAAUAUUACUCUGGAAAAGCUCUAAAAACUUCAGGCAUUUCUUCUGCAGUCCAAUUGUUUAAAACACUCCCAGGUUCAAAGGGACAGAUGCCUGAUGUACUUCCUUCUUUAGAUUCUUCUUCAAAUAUGGCAUUGAUGUUCAGGUUUCCUAACAUCUCCUCUGUGGUAUUCUCUCUUGGAAUCCUUAGUCUAGAAUACAUGGUCCCUCCCGAUACGAAGGUCCUGGAUAAGUGGGGAAAAGCCAUAGGUUCCCAAUCAACUUUUUCUCCAUUCAAACGCGCCUUCCUCCUCUCUUGUCUUUUCUCCAACUCUUUUGUUCUUUGCUUGGCAUUUGGCUUAAACCCUAAACCAAAACGAUCUUGUUUGUCCUUCACCACUGGUGCGUCUAUCCUUUCUUGAAGACAUCUUUCCAGUCCUCUUCCAGGCACAGGUCCUUUCCCAACUGUCAUUCGUAGUCCCAUCCUCGUGGCCCUAAAUAUGCUGGGCAUCAGGAUCUUCUUUCCCUCAAUGACAAAGGUCGCAUUUACGAACUCUAGGGAUCAAAAGGAACAUUCGACCGCCUCAUCAUUCAUUCCCAAGUACGGUGCAUCACUUGUUACCGAUGCAAUGAUGUCUUUGUCAGCAUUAAUCGUAAUCAACCGGCCUUCUGUUACCAAUUUCAACUUCUGGUGCAAUGAUGAAGGCACCGCCCCCGCUGAAUAAAUCCAGGGUCUUCCCAACAAGUAAUUAUACGAAGGCUUGAUAUCCAUUAAUAAGAAGUCCACCUCGUAUGUAUUCGGGCCAAUCCAGAGAGGUAUUUCUAUUCUUCCUAUUAUGCUCAUUUCAGUACCAUCAAAUGCCCUCACUAUGUUCUGGCAUGAUUUCAUGUGGGAGCUGUCCACCGGCAAUCUGCUUAAGGUGGAUAGGGGCAAGACAUUCAGGGCUGAUCCAUUAUCAAUCAACACACCUGGUAACAUAUAUUCUCCGCAACGAGUGGUGAUAUGUAAGGCUUUGGUGGCUCCUCUCCCUCCCGGCGAUAUUUCAUCAUCAUUAAAGAAAAUGAAAUUGUUGGCACUUAUAUUGCUAACCAAUCGGUCCAACUUGUUCACUGAGAUAUCAUGUGCGACAUAAGUUUCAUUUAGCACCUUAAUCAACGCAUUACGAUGUAUUUCUGAACUUAGAAGUAAUUCGAGCACUGAGAUACGAGCCGGUUGCUUAUGUAAUUGUUCUACCACGCUGUACUCGCUGUGUUUCAAGAAUUUUAGAAAUUCUCUAGCCUCAUUUUCAGUUACCGGCUGAUUGACAUGGGAUUCAACUUUGUCUGUUUUUACUUUUUCCAGCUCAACUGCUAAGGCUUUUCCUUUUCUAGAUUCCACUUUUGCACUUGCCGGAUCAUAGCGCUUUCCACUUCGUGUAUAGAAUCCUUCAUUUUCUUCUGAAGCAUUUACCAAGCUCUCUUUUCCUGGAAUUGUCACAUUGCAGUUGUAAUUUCAAGGAACCUUUUUGCUAUCCUUGUAGGGAAAGGAUACAGGUUUUUGGAUUAUGACCUUUGGCGUUGUCUGUAUUCCGGAUUCUGUGUUCAUUGGCUUUGAAAUAAUAACCACUGGGUGGUUAACCUCUUGGGCUUUCUUCGCAGAUCCUUCCUCUGAAGCACAAACUUCUCCCUCUUCUAGUCCCUUGAUUUCUUCAUAAAACUCCAAUUCUUUGUUGUCCAUUAAGUUUUGCACCAUGGUUCUGAACUCGGUGCAUUUUUGGAUGUCAUGGCCUUCUUCUGCAUGGAACUCACAUAACUCCCUUGCUCAUUCAUGCCUUUCUACCGAAUCUUGCUUGAUGAGACCUUUUUUCACCAUUUGUUUCCAAACCCAUCCAAGAGGGGUCCUUAUCUCAGCUAUGUUUGCCUUGACUCUCCUUUCUUUCUCAAUUAUCGCGUUCACCCCUUUACUAUCAUGAGUGGGCAACGGAUUCUCUGCUACAUUUGGUCCAGAUGAUUCACCAAUCUUGACGAUCCCCAAAUUGAUAAGUUUUUCAACUAACUUCUUGAAUGCAGUGCAAUUCUCAAUCGAGCGCCCCUUAGUCCCUACGUGAUACUCGCAUUGAGCGUUUGCGUCAUACCACUUAGGGUACGGAGGUUGCAUAGGUUUCAGGUAAAAUGGGGAUACCACAUGUGCAUCGAAUAAGUUCUGGUACAAUUCUCUAUACAUCACUGGGAUGGGUGUGAAUUGGGGUCUCUCUAUAUUUGGCCUUGGAUUGGAUUCCUGUUUCGAAGAACCCUGCUGAUUAGCGGUUACUAUUCUGCCUUGCCCCAUCAUGAUUGAUUUAGAGUGGUCCUUGUUAAACAUGCUUGUAUUUUUUAUCUCGUACUCCUUCUUUCUUGGUGCUGACCUUUUAGUACUUUCUCCUACUUCUAUCUUGCCACUCAUUAUGGCGUUCUCUAUCAUUUCUCCAGACAUCACUAUGUCUGAAAAGCUCUUAGUGGCACUGCCCAACAUGUGAUUGAGAAAUGGGGCUUUCAAAGUGUUGAUAAAAAGCAUGGUUAUCUCUUUCUCUAAAAGUGGUGGUUUAACUUGCGCUGCUACCUCCCUCCAUCUCUGAGCAUACUGUCGGAAGCUCUCAUUAGGUUUCUUUUCCAUAUUUUGCAAUACAAUUCGAUCAGGUGCUAUAUCCAUCACAUGUCUGUACUGUUUUAUAAAGGCCUGCGCCAAAUCUUUCCACGAAUGGAUGUUGGCCUGACUCAAUUGAUUAUACCAUCUAGCCGCUGACCCGAUCAAACUAUCCUAGAAGCAGUGAAUCAGCAGUUGAUCUUGUUGAUAUACCUAGUCAUUCUUCGAUAAAACAUAGUGAUAUGAGCUUCGGGACAACUUGUUCCGUCAUAUUUCUCAAAUUCAGACAUUUUAAAUUUAGGAGGGAGGACUAAAUUAGGUACCAAGCUCAGAUCUUUAGCGUCCAUUCCUCGGUGGUAAUCAGCAUUUUCCAUGGCUUUAAACUUUUCCUCUAGCCAUUUACACUGGUCCUCUAAUUACUUUGACAGAUCCACUUUCACUUUCUCCACUUCUACCACGUCAUCGAGGUCAGGGACCACGAGAUUGGUAGGAUUCUCCCUGGGAUUAUUACCUAAUCUGAUUUGAAAAUUUAUUGGCAUUAAAGGAUUCGUCUGAAACUACUGAGGUUUGAUUGUAACAGAGGAUCUUUGUGGGUAGAACUCAGCUUGAGUAUGCGCGUGCGGAGGGGUAAAGCCUGGAGGGUAAAGGGGUUCAUCAUUGUUUCCCUCUUCAUUAUUAACUACAAGAUCCUUUCCCUUGUCAUUUCCUCCUUUCAAUAGCUAUGUUAACUUUGCCAUCAUGUCAUUUUGGGAUUCCCGCAUCUUUUCUGUCAUAUCUCGCUGAAUCUUUUCCAAUCGCUCUUGCAUUUGAUCUUGCAUAUCUCUUUGCAGCAGUUCAAGUUUUUCUAAUCUUUGAUCCAUGCUCUUUGAUUUCGCUCAAGUUCCGUAGGGGUGUUGAUUUUCCAGGUUAACUGAAAUAAUUUUAUUUAAUUAGGGUCCUUUAAUGGUCGUUGAUACAUAUGAUGUGAUGCAAUGCAUGAAAUGGAUGCAAAAAGAAAAGGCGUUGACUCUAAUUCAAUUUCAUUUAGAAAACUUUACUGAAAACAAACUUCUUUACAUAAGGUGGAUUACAGAUACGACUUAGCCCUAAUACUUAAAACUCUAAUCUUCCUAAGUAACGAAGCUAGCUCCUGUCCUCGACUUGACUCCAAUUCGUACUUCACGCUCAACACAUCAGCUUCUACUGCUAACAUCCGCAGAUGAUCACCUAUCUCCCGAAUUUGAACCACAGCUUCUCCCAUAAUGUGAUCUCUAUCUCUUACUUGGUUCUGGAAGUAGUGCAACUGCUCGGUUUGACGAUCUUUAUUAGUUUCCAAGUACUUAAUCUGGAUUUCGCAAUUUUGUAAUGCUGCUUCUAACUCUUCAAUUCUUUCUUUCAUUUCUUUAAUUUUAUUUAGGCUUGCCUUCAAUUCCAUCACAAAAUUCUGAUUUCAAUGCCGAUGGAGAGAUCCUUCUAAUUCAGUCACUCUAUUUUCUAGUUCCCUCUUUUCUUUCUGAUUCUCUGACAAACUCCUCUUUAGAGCCUCGUUCUGUGCUUGAACUUUUUGGAACCUCCUUUCCCAUCUAUCGGCUUUGUUUCUUUCUUCUUGAAUCUCCUUGCGCCACUACUCAGAAGUCUUUCCUAAUCCGGCAGUCCUCAUUGAUAACCGCAACUUCUUGUAAUCUAUUUUUAGACUAUCUAGAUCUUCUUCAACCCUAGCUUUUCCUUUUCUUAACCGCUCCACCUCAAGCUUCUGGAUAUCUGCAUCCAAUCUCAAGUUCAUUUUUUCUUCUUCCAUCUACUCUAGCUGCUUUUCCAACUCUGCAUUUCUUCUUUCAAAAUCCUGCUUUAAAAUUCCCAGUUCAGAAGGGACGACUCGUAAAUGUUCCUCUAACGACUGAUUGCCUUUGUGACUGGAUUUGUGGAUAUUGUCAUUGAUUCUUCUGACCCUCCAUUCAUCGUACUCAGGAGUCGUCACUGGUCCUACAGCCAAUCUCUUCAUUCGACGAGUCUGGUUCCACGCAUUGGAUAUCUCUCGAAUCCUCUUUUGGUAGCCAUCACCCCCGUACGCGAAUUCACACCCGGCUAGUCCCUGGGUUACGGGUAUAAACUGUCUUGACCUGUAUUGUCUGAGCACUAAUAACGGGGCAUAACCAAUAGCUCCCCAGAUUCCAAGCAAAUGGACCCAAUAAAAAUCACCACACUGAUACAAAAUUUCGUCUGGAAGUAACCACGGAGCUCUCCACUCAAUGUCCUCUUCUUGCAGGCUCUGAAGAAUUACCAUCCAUUUUUCCAUCGAAAUGUCAUCUCUUCUCAGUGUACCUACUAUCUCCUUUAGUGGCGAAUAGUUUUCAGAGAAGACCCGAUAUGACACAUUAUCCAUUUUCCAAAAAUGACUGUGGAACCACACAAGUAAUAAUUGUGCACAUCCAACGAAUCUGCCUUCACCCGCUCGUCGACAGGCAUUCAAUGAUCUGAAUUUUUCCACUAAAAUUGCUGGAACCGGAGUAACUCCCUUGUUGAGACGGUCGAAUAAAUCAGUGAUUGCCUCAUCAAUAUGCCCCAAAGCUCUGGGGAAGAUAACUAAGCCGUAUAUGCUCAAAGCGAAGACAUCUACCCUUUUUUUUACAUCUGGAUGCACUAGGACCACAUCUUUCAAAUUCCUCCAAGAAAUGCAUUUGUUAUCCCCUUUUUGUUUAAUUCGGGCUGUGACCCACUGCUCACUCAUACCUGUUAUGUUCAUUAACCUUCUAAAAAAGGGUGCAUUUGUAGCUUUCGAGUAGAUUCUGUCGACUUGACUCUUCGAACACCGAAGUAAAGCCAUAUAUUCUUCUAUCGUAGGCACUAAGUCGACUUUCCCAAACGUAAAACAACUGUAGGUGGGGUUCCAAAAUUGUGCUAGAGCCCAGAACAGGUGUUUGUCUAUCUUCAUAUCUAGCAAGUACGGUAAAUCCCCAUAAUCAGAAUAGAACAAUUGUCUGUCCUCCUCGUUCCACUGGUCUCAAAUUUCUUUCAACUCUUGCAAAUUGUUCUAGGUUACGCUGAUACGGGUGAAGUCCCAUAACUCAGAUUCAUAUCCUUCAACCAGACUAUCUCCUUUCUCCCGCUGCGUCGUUUCUGACCAAGUUUGCACCGCCGCAUUAUCUUCCACCUUAUCAAGAAAUCCCCUUUCCAUGAUAAGAUUUCUUUCUAGAAACCAAAUAUGAACCAACGCCUUUUAUAAUGAAAUGGCAUGCAGUUAAAAUGUCAUGCAUCCAAAGUAAAAUAGCAAACAUUAGUAUCAAGUAUAAGUAUACAAUCCAAAGUAAUUCAGAAAGAAUAAAAGCACCUAUCAGGGUAUGUACUAGGGUUCGGUGUAGUUCUACCUAGGGCGAGUCUCUAUAGUUCACUACAUGAGGUUUAGCUCUAAAGUAAGGGUACCUAAACCAGCAGAUUCCUCGAUCUUCACCUACUAUAGGCUCAUAUAGACCGAGUUCGGUUCAGGGGAAUACAUUUCCCUAUGGCUGCACAGAGAUGAAAAUCUCACGAAGACAUAGGUACAGAUGUAUCCCGGAAGCGAUCAACUGUCCUGCACGGAGGUGAAACCUCACGAAGGAGUAGUUUCUCACUCCCACUUAGAACGGUGUGACCAAAGGUCAUGCAAUGCAAUAUGCAGCAAGAUACCAAAAUUUAAAUCAACACAACAAUUACAACGAUGAAAAUUGUGAUAAAAACGAAUGAAAUGCAAUGAAAGGAUCGUAUAUUUAAAUCAAGUUUUCAAUUUUCAACAAAAAGACAAAAGAUAAUCAACUCGUGGCUCGACUCACUUAUUUUAUGUCCUCAGCGGAGUCGCGAAGCUGUUGACACCAUUUUUUAUUCAAAACGGGGUCGACUUGGGGUUUUGAAAAAUGAAACGGGAGUCGGCACCAAUCCUUUUUUAUGAGGUGUGAUUGGAUUACCUCGAAAAGUGGUUGUUUUUAAUAAACGGUUUGAUUUUAUUAAAACAACAAGUUUGGUCCACGAAAUUCAAAAAACGGGUUCGGGAGUCGGUUACGUACGAGGAAGGAUUAGCACCCUCGUAACGCCCAAAAAUUGGUACCUAGUUGAUUAACUAAUGUCUUGAUGUCGAAAAAUGAGAACUUUGAAGAAUUUUAAAAAUAGGAUCCUUGUAUUAAAAUAUUGAAAAUUUCCAGGAAAAUGGGCAUAUUUCACGUUAUUCAAGAAAGACAAUCAUAUCCAGUAAGUUAGGACACAAUGUCUCGAAUUCUCGAUACGUAAAUGAAUGCCAAAAUUUUACUUAUUUAAAAGACAUUUUAUUAUCUCGAGUUUAGAAAAGGGAUCAUGCCCAGUAAGUUAGGACACGAUCUUUUCUUAAUUCUCGAGAUCGUUUUAAAACUUGAGUUUAAAAAGAUUCGUGUAUUUAGAUUUAUUGUGAAAAUCGAAACCCAGUAAGUUAGGGUACGAUUCUCUCGAAUCUAAACACGAAAUAAUAUUUAUUCAAAAGAAAUUUUAUUAUAUCGAGUAAAAUAAAACACGAAAAUCGUAGUAAAAAAAUGUGAAAGCAAAUUACAUUGUUAUGAUGCAUAGCUGAACCAUAAUGGGUACGAAAAUAUGAAAAUUAUACAAACAAUAGCACAAUAUAAAAUAAAUAAAAGGUUAAAUCUACAACGUUCAAAAUAACGAUCAUGUAUAAACAAAUUAAAUUAAAGCAUGCAUCCGAAAUAAUAAUGAAGAUGAAGUAAAUAAAUAGUGAAUACAAUUCAAAAUGUAAAGAGGUAUGUAUACGUAUGUAAAUAUAAAUUAAAAUAUGUAUGCAUAUGUGAAUUAUAAAAUAUGUAGAAAAUACCUAUGUAGAAUAUAUUUUAAAAUAUAAAGAAUAUAAAAAAGUACAUAUAGGUGUAAGUAUGUAAAAUUAUGAAACAUAAAGAAUAUAUAAAAAAUUGUAUAUUUUUUGAAAGUAUGAAGUGUAUGCAAGUAUGUGUAUAUAUAUAAUAAAGGUGUAUGAAAGUAUAUUUUAUACACGUGUAUUUAUAAAAUGUGUAUAAAUAUAUAUUGAUUUACCAAUACAUAUGGAUAUAUAAUUAUAGAAUAUAUAUAAAAAAUAUUUACAUAUAUACGUUUAUGCGUAUAUAAAAGUAAGCUAUUAUAAAAUAUGAGCAAGCAUAAUACAUAUAUAUAGAGAGAAUAAAAAUGAAGUUGAAAACAAUAUAAAACUACUUAAUAUAUUAAUAUAAUAGUAACAAAAUAAAUAAACAGAAAAUAAAGCUAAUAAUAAUUAAUAAUAGUAGUAAUAAUAAUAAUAGUAAUAAUAAUAAUAACACUAAAAUAAUUAAUUAAACAAUAAAAUUGCUAAAAAGGGUUUAAAUCGAAAUAAAAACCUAAAUACUGGGCGAUUUCGAAAUAAAUAAAAACUAAAAGGAUUAAAUUGCAACACGCGCCAAACAUAGAGGGACCAAAACAGUAAAUAAGCCGAAGCCCCGAAACGGGGCGCAACAGUGGGCCAAAUUGGAACAAAAAUAAAAUUCUGGGGCUAAAUUAAAAAUAAAAGGAAAUAGCGAAAUAGGACCAAAUUAAAACACGCCGCAAAUCAAAGGGACUGCGCGCGCAAAUAUCCCCCUUAGCGAAAACGCGUGGAUCCUCCACCAGGGUCGGGUCACCUCGCGGGUCAGAGACCAAAACGACGCCGUUUUGGUCUCUGAACCCUAAAUUAAAAAACGGCGCCGUUUUACAGGGUAUUUGAACCCAUUUUUACAUCAAAAAAACACUUUAGCCGUUUUUUUAAAAAAAUAAAAGGGGAGCCCCUUUUCUCCCUAAGAAGUCUAGCCAUGUGGGGUUCCUUGGCCCCUGUUGCGGGUUCCUUGGCCCCUGUUGCGCCGCCGCUCGGCUCGCCGCACCGCCACCACUCCGACGGCUGGCGAAGCUCCAGAAAGGCGUUCAAAGCCCCAUCCUCCGGUGAGUUUCCUUUUUCCUUUCUUUUAUUUUUAUUAUAAAUAUAUUAUAUAUAUAUAAGCAGAUGAAUAAAAGAAAAUAAAUAAAAAAGGUUUAAAAUCUGUUAAAACGAAAACAAAAGGGAUCGGAAAUCACCUUUGAAACUUAUCUUUUAUUACUUUGGUAAUAUUUGUAUUUUUUUUGAUACCUCAAAUUCUAACCCAAGAAGAAGAAAAAAAGGUGUACAGAUUAGGCUUUUUAUAGCUGAUUUUUGGCUACUGUUUCUGUUGUCUUUUUGUGUUGUUUUCUUCUUUGCAGGUGACCGGCGGCGCAAGUAGGGGUGAGCAUUUGAUCAAAUCGAAUCGAAUAAAAAAUUUUCGAGUUAAUCGAGUUUUCGAAUCUCAUUUUAUCAUCCUAACUUUAUUUGAAGUUUUCUCAAAUCGAGUCGAGUGAGAUGAAAUUCGAAUCGAAUCGAAACGAAUAUAUCUGUUCGAGUUAAAUUUUAAAAAAUAAUUUUGGGUCCUUGUAACCAUUAUCACCCAUCGUAAUAAAAUUUGCCCACAUUAAUCAAAUUUUUUAUUAACUUUCAUCACUUCAUAAUUUAUUUAUUAUUUUUUUAUAUACUGGUUAGCUUCUUUGCUUGCUUAGUUGUUUCAAUUAUCUUCAUAUUUUUGUCACUAUGUAUUUUGGAAUUAAAAAAUAUAUUAAAUGUAACAUAUGAUUUUUUUAAGAAAAUUUAUUUUAAAAAUAAAAUGUGAAAUUGAUACCAAUAUAAAAUUUUAACAUGAAUAUUUUAUGGCAUAAUUAGUAAUUCAAUUUUAAUAUAAAUAUUCAAUAUGACUAAACAUUUCAAUAAUAUAAAUAAUAUAAAAUGUGAAAUUUAAUUUAAUAAUAUAAAUAGUAGAUAUAAAUAAAAUUAUUACUAUUUAUGUUUAGUGAAUUUUUUUGGAUAAUUUUGAUUUUUUAUUUUUGAGUAAAGGGUGAGAAGUAAAAGUUUAGGGGGAAAAUAAAAAAGUUUUGGGGAAUAAAAGUUUGAGGGAAAGUAAAUAUGGGGAGUAAAAUUUUGGAGGGAAAAUAUUAAAAAAAAAUUGGAGGGGGGAGGGUUUGGGGUAGAUGAGAGGUGGGAUGGGAAAGGAAUAAAAGUUUUAGGGGAAAAGUGGGAGGGAGUAAAAAUUUUGGGAGAAAAUAAAAGGUUUUGAUGGUUUUUGGGAGUAAAAUUUUGAGAAAAAGUAAAUGGGAGAGUAAAAUUUUGGUGGGAAAUAGAUUUUGGGUAGAUUGGGGGGUUGGGAGGGGAGGGGAGUAAAAGUUUUGGGGGGAAAGUAGGAAGGAGUAAAAGUUUUGAGGGAAAAGUAAAUAGGUUUGGGAGUUUAGGGUAAAAAUGUAAAUUAUUAUAGUUUGAUAUUCGAAUUAUUCGAAUUAUUCGAGUUAUUCGAAUUCAAAAACUCAACUCGAUUCGAACUCGAAAUUCGAAAAAAAAUUCGAGUUGAUUCGAAUAACUCGAUUAACUCGAAUAACUCGAUCCGUUUAACUCGAAAUUUGAAUUUUUUUCAAUUUUUUCGAGUGGAAUCGAAUUUUGCUCACCCCUAGGCGCAAGUGGGGUGAUUGGAGCAGGUGGUGGUAGGUGCGGCGCAGCAGUGGCGGUGGUAGAGGAGGCCAAGGGUCAAAGAGGGCGGCGCCUAGGGUUUCAGUCUAGGCUAAUUUUUUUAGAGAAAAUGGGCCUGGGCUGUUGGGCUCCAGGUUUGGGUUAGGGGCAUUUAGGUUUGGGCUGGGUUUGGUUUAAUUGUAAUUGGGCUUGGUGUAUUUGGGUAGGUUAAUUUGAAUUAAGCUUGGGUAUUGGGCCGGGCAAAAUAUGGGCUUCACACCAAUUAUUUUAUUAGACCCAUGUUCAUGACUGAUUUUAAUAUUUUUUGUUGACCCAUUUUUGUAGUGGUUGUCUACGUACCAUUGGAAGUGAUUACUUCAGGUACAUUACUCGUUUUAUUUGUCGGCAUGUUUGACCAAAAUAUUUUGAUAAUUUGCUUGCAUCUUUUUGAGUAUCUUGUGCAACCAAUCUUUUGUUUAUUAUUGGAAAGGAGAUUCAAUCAAGCAAAAUUAUUUUUCAAAGAUCCUUAUAUUGAUUACUUAUGUAACACCCAGGUUUGGCAGGUUCUAAGUUCUGACAAGAAGACUAAGAGCGGUGAGAAGUAGCCUAUCCGCUCGAUUAUCAUUUUGGCGCACAAAUUAGGCGCAUAGCAGAUAAUAGAACAUUAAGCAAGGGUUGUUCUCAGAAUGUAUUAAGUUGUAAAGAAGAAGAGAUUGGUGAGAGUUUUGAGAACCUUGUAAUAAGGGGGUUAUCGCCUAAAUUGACAAUUUUCCAUUUUAGGAGUGGGGCAUGCCAAGCCCACCUAGACUCAUAGUUGUUGAUUUUCAAAAUUGGCAUGGAUUAAAUUGUUCAAUUUUUUUAGGGGACCAACUUACUCAAUGUUAAAAUUGAGAAGGACCAAAAAGUUUUUUUUUAUCCUUUUAUUGUAGAAAGUUGUUUAUAUAUAUAUUUGUGAAAACUCAAAAGAAAGUGUAAAAACUUAUUAAACAGGAGUUAAAUAUUCAUCCCUUCAUUGCUGUUUUCCAGUCAUAUGCUGCAUGCAAACUUAUUAUAUUUAAAUUCCAAAUUCUUUAGUGCAAGUGUCUGGUCUUCAUUCUUUUCUCUUAUAAGAUGUUCAGAUUCAGACAAUUUUGUUUAGCCUUAGACAUGACAAAGUGUUCUAAUAGUACAUCCCGCACGUCACUUAAUUGGCUGAUGUCGAUAAGUAAGAAUGCCCUUAAUUUAGAUCCUUUGAUAGUUGGGUGAUUGGGAUGAUUUAUUUAUUCAUUUUGGAAGUUUUUAUUAGAAUUUGACUUGCUAAUUUUCAUAUUUAUAUUAUAUUUGUGCUUUUUUUUUACAUAAUUUUUUAUUAAUUAAUAAUGUGUUAUAGGAAACAUUUUUAUUGAAUUUAAUAUUACGAGCCAAUUCCAUAUUAAUUUAGUCAAAUAAAUUAUAUAAGAACUAUUUUUAAUAAAUAAUAAAUAUUAUUACAAUAUUAUUUUUGUUUUCUAUUAUAUUCGAGUUAAUAUUUAAUAUAAUAUUAGUGGAAAUUUCAAUUCUAUAAUUUAAAUGCUAUCACAUAUUCCAUUUUAAGAAAAAUAACAUUUUUUUUACUACACUCUAAAAGUGUAUGAGUCGAUUGAGUCUUAACUCGGUUGGUAUUGACAUUGUUGUCUAUGCAGGAGAACGUGGGUUCAAGUGCGUUGAAACACAUUUAUCCUCCCAUUGAAGGAGUGGAGAGACACUAUGGGUAGUUCUUUUAAUUUAACUCGAACAAUUUCAUUCGAUGCGACUAGAUUCAAAUUUUAUUUCACUCGACUCGAUUCGAAAAAAAUCAAAUUGACUUAAGAUCUUAAAAGAGAAUCGUAAACUCGAUUAACUCAAAAUUAUAUGAUACUUCAUUACUUAAUUGACGCAGCAAAUAUUGACAAAGCUGGGUUUGCGCCAAUUUUUUUCCCUUAAUUUCUAUUGUGUGAUUGGUACAUGGAUGAGAACGAACAUAGUUAGUGCCAACCCACGAUGCAAUUGCAAGCCUAAAAAAAGCUAAAGAUGGUGACAAUUCAAAAUGGUAAUAAAUUGAAAUAAUUCAUUUUAUUUUACCUUGCUCAAUUUUUAUUAAAUUUAGUUUUAAUUCAUGUGUUAUCUCUGAAUGAUAUCACAAUAUAUUUUUAAAAAAUUAAUAUUAAUAAUAUUUAAUAACAUAAAAUAAUUUAUAUGUAUUAAAAAUUUAUUAACCACUUCAUAUUAGAAUAAUUCUAUCAUUAUUUCAAAAGGUAAAAAUGUUAUUAUUACACCAAUUAAAAAAUAUCAUAUAUUCAAAUAAUUAAUUCAUCAUAAUUUUAAUAAAAAGUUUCACAUAUAAUAAUGAUAAAUGUAAAAUAAAUUAGUUUAUGUUUAUGAUAUACAUGACUCAUUUAUACCUAUUAAAAUAAAUAAUUUCAAAUAAUAAUGUAUAAAAUUUGCUUAAUAAAAAAAUAUAUUAAAUAAUAAAUAGCAAAACUAUAAUGUUAUUUAUGAACAAGAUGGAUCCGGGGUGGGGAGGCUUGCACCCCCAUUGGAUUUCUCAAAAGUUCUCAAAAUUUUAUUAUAUUCUUAAUUCCUCCCACUUCUUAUCAAUUCGCUCCUUUUAUCUCGGAUUUUAAUAAUUUUUUGUGGAUUAAAGUUUUUGAAGUGACUGCCUAUGUAACAUCUCUAGCCCGUUAGGGAACAUGACGUGCCAAAACCAACCAACAGUCCGCCCAACGAAUUGGAGUGUUAUCGACGGUUUCAACCUUUUUCAAAAUGACUUCCAACUCUUUGAAAUCAACUAUGAAAAAUCUCUUUAAAAGCAUUCUUAGAUUUUUGUAACCCCCUGUUUAAAGUAAACUAUAAGUCAUCCCCAUAGCUUUAAAUGGCAUACGCAUAUAAAAGAAAAUCUUUUAAGGCAUCAACAAUGAAAAUAGGUAAAUAUUUGCAAUUAAUAGAUAAAAAUAUUUUUCAACAGAAACCAUGCAUGAAACCAAUAACAAAAGAACUAAUAGCUCACAAAUAUCAGCAACUCUGAUGUAGUCUCCUUCUACAAAAUCUUCUGCUACUACCAACAAUCCUGAGGAGAUAAAAUAACUAAGUUGAAUUGAAUUUACUGAGUUCCACAAUAUACACAGAUACUGUAUUGAAAUACCUUUAAUUAACAAGCACUAGUACUCAUAACAAAACGGACUUUCCAUGAUAUUUGUCGUAACCAUUUUUUGUAAAACGGGAUCGACUUGGAUUUUAAAAAUAAAAACGAAUAUGGGAGACGCUACCAGUCCUUUUUGAUAAGCUGUGAUCGGGCCACCUUGAAAAGUGGUUAUUUUUAAUAAACAAUUUAAUUUUAUUAAAACAACGAUUUUGGUUUCUGUUUGUUGGGUCAGGGCUAAAUUGGGUUGUACAGCUGCCCCUCUUUGCUCGUUGUCGUGUAACGAGAACAGAGCAAAGACUAAGACAGACCAAUUUUGCCUGGUCUCACCGAUUAUUGACCUAUUCUGGUGCUUCUCUUCUUCAAGUAGCUUUAUUCCAGACCACAGUGUCUUGUUGCUUCGAUCCACUCCACCGCAACUUCAAAAAGAGAUACGACCUGUAGCUUCAAUCUUCAAGAGGACGAGAUUCAUGGUUUUAGUCUGCUCCACCGCAACAUCAAGGAGAUAAGACUUGUUGUGGUAGAUUUAAUUCGAUCCACUGCAACUUCAGAGGUAUAGGAUUCAUCGUUUUAAUCUACUCCACUGUAACUUUAGGGAGAUAGGAUUAGUAGCUUCAAUCUGCCCCACUGCAAUUUCAGGGAGAUAAGAUUGGUAUCUUUAACCUGCUCCACUGCAACUUCAGGGAGAUAAGGUUUGCUAUCUUCAGUCUACUCCACUACAACUUCAGUGAGAUAAGGUCUGCAAUUUCAACCUGCCCUACUGCAACUUGAGGGGGAUAAGGUUUGAUAUGAUCUGCUCUACUGCAACUUCAGUGAGAUAAGAUCUGCAAUGUAUAGCUUCAAUUUGUUCCACUACAACUUCAAGGAAAUAAGGUUCGAUAUAUUCGGUCUGCUCCACUACAACUUCAGGAAGAUAAGAUUUGUAUCUUCAACCUGCUCCACUACAACUUUAGGGAGAUAAGGUUUGCUAUCUUCAGUCUACUCCACUACAACUUUAGUGAGAUAAGAGUUGUAUCUUUAACCUGCUCUACUGUAACUUUCAGGAGAUAAGGUCCACAAUUUCAAUCUGCCCUACUGCAACUUGAGGGGGAUAAGGUUUGAUAUGAUUUGCUCUACUGCAACUUCAGUGAGAUAAGAUCUGCAAUGUAUAGCUUCAAUCCGUUCCACUACAACUUCAAGGAAAUAAGAUUCGAUAUCUUUGGUCUUCUCCACUCCAACUUCAGGGAGAUAAGAUUUGUAUCUUCAACCUGCUCCACUGCAACUUCAGGGAGAUAAGGUCUGCAAUUUCAACCUACCCCACUGCAACUUCAGGGGGAUAAGGUUUGUCACUUCAACCUGCUCUACUCCAACUUCAGAGAGAUAAGGUUUGUGGCUUUAAUUUUCUUCUCUGCAACUUCAAGGAGAUAAGAUUCGCUGCCUUCAGCUUUAAUCCGCUCUACUUCAACUUUAAUCUAUUCCACUACAACACUAGGGAAACAAUAUUCGCUACCUUUAGCUUUAAUCUGUUCCACUGGAACGCUAGAGAAAUAAGAUUCGCCGCCUUAAGCUUUAACGAUAGGGACAUAAGAUUCGCUACCUUCAGCUUUAAUCUGCUCUGUUGUAAUGCUAGGGAAACAAGAUUCGCUACCUUUAGCUUUAAUCUGUUUCACUAUAACGCCAAGAUGAUAGGAUUCGCUGCCUUCAGCUUUAAUCUGCUCCACUUCAACUUUAAUCUAUUCCACCGCAACGCUAGGGAAACAAGAUUCGCUACCUUUAGCUUUAAUCUGUUCCACUGUAACGUUAGGAAAAUAAGAUUAUUGGUUUUAGUCUACUCUACUGCAACUUUAGGGAUAUUAGAUUUGCUUUCUUCAAACUGUUCCACUGCGACUUCAAUGGUAUAGGAUCUGUGGUUUCACAGAUCUGUUCUCUGGGGAACAUGACCUAUGGAAUCCAUUGCAUGGGCCUAUUCAUGCCUAUUAAUUAGAAUAUUAUGAUUAGAACGAAUCAAAAUCUCCUAACUAAAUGUGCAUGCAUGAAUGCAAAAUGUCAUGAAAAUGAUCCCCCAAUGUUUGAGUUGUUAUUGUUCAUUGUUCAUUAAGGUCUCAUUACCAAUACGUUAGAACACUAUCUUGUUCGGCCGGUAACACUAUAAUCUUCAAGGUUCAAUCCACUGUACCUUUAGGACAUAAAAGUUUGAACCAUCUUCUUCCCACUAAGUAUAAGAUCUGGCUCUUUCUUAAUCCUCUCCCACUGCAAUUUAGGGAUACAGGAUCUGAAUAUCUUUGGCCUUACACCACUCUCGAGGUGUCAUACCAAAUAUUUAUGCACAAUUGUAAAAUUUUCUUAUCCGAGAAAACCUCUUCUUAUCACUCCAUUGAUCAUUGCUAGUUUAUUUAUUGAAGCCUUGUCACAAACACGACAUCUUGUCAUUUUGUUCAAUCAAUGUUUGGAUAACAAAAUCUGAAAGGAUAGUCUUAAUUUAGACUCUUCCUUCUUAGAUAUUUCAUCCUUUAAACUUGGUGUGUUCUAAACAAUAGUCCUGUUUCAGGUUCCUAUAUUAUUUAGAAACUUCUAGAGUAAUAUGCAAAACAUCCAUUGUGAAAGUAUUAUCAGAAAACAUCCAUUGUGAAAGUAUUAUCAGUCUAUUAAUCAUUAUUCCAAUGCAACGUGCUUGCAAAAGAUCAUAACGGUAGAUAGAAUAGGAUUAAUUUGGGAACAUGACUUGAAAUGGAUAAAUUAUCAAAGAGAGUAAGAAUAAAAAAGGAAUUGAUUGGGAACAUAUAUCUUGAAAAAGAAUAAAGUAUUCCAAGAACAUCAAAUUCAAUAUAAAUAGUAUGAAGACUAAGAUCCCCAGAUAUCGUAGCUUGAACUUCUCUGUAAAAACUUUCUGAAGACCAUUCUGAGUUUGACAUGUGUUUAGGAGAUCUACAGUACUUUGUCAAUGUCCCAAGAUAUCGCCUACCCUUUUCUGUUGAUUUAGGCAUAGCAAGAUCACCAUAUGCCCCAAUCUGAUCAAAAUUUUAGCUGUUCUGAUCACCUCAUGUCCCACUCUGAUCAAAAUUUGAGCCGCCCUUUUCAGGUUUUCAACUCAAAUCCCCUUUAGUCUCAAGGUGCCCUUUGCGGGUUUUCACCUUGGCCUCUCAUUUUUCUUUUCUUUUCUUCUUCUAUUUUGAAAUAUUUUUUGAUUGAAUCUAAACUCAUAGGAUAAGGCAUGUCCUUGUUAUCCUUUUUGAUCAAAAUCAAUGUUUCUCCAGAUAAGGCCUUCCAUAUAAGGUCCUUCCCAGUUUGGUAUCCACUUUCUUCUGAAGUCCUUUUGUAUGGGGAGGAUCUUCUUCGAUACCAGGUUCUCCUCGUGGAAUCUUCUAGAGUGAACUUUUUUUUGAGCUCGCAUCAUUUGCUUUUGGCACAUUUGGCAAUGAUGGAUAACUUUGAACAUUCCUCUUUAAUCAGGAUUAAAUUAAAAAACUUAGAGAGAAUGAAUCUUGUCUUCAAUUGGUAAACCUCGAUAAGCCCAAAAGAAAAGCAUUACCUCGGUAAAGGCUUUUCACUGCACUAUUCACAUUGGGACGACAUGGUGUUAAUCUUGAACAGGCUGCAAACCUUUUGAUAAUAUGAUGUUCAAAUUUAGCGCGUUGUUGAAUAUGAUCCUUUUUGGCAUUUUAUACCUACGUAUGAAUUUUUCAAGAAUUUGCUGGCUGUCGACUUUGUGACAUUGGCACAUGAAGUGGCUUCUACCCAUGAAGAUAAAUCGAUAACCGUCAAAAUCUUUUGGCGAGAUCGACCUAAUGACCUUCAUGCCCCACAUAGGGAGAAGUCAUGGAUUCCAUUGAUUCUUUGUAGGGUAGGAUCUAUUUUCCAUCUUAUUCUACCAUCCGUAAUAAGUCUAGAGAUAGGCUAUAAUCUAUGUCAUCUUUAAAGUCAUGAGAUCCCUCAAACACAUGUCUCACUCAAAAGGAGAUUCUGAGUCUGUAGCAGCGUAACUCAUGUCAUUGAUAUCUAGGGACCUAUUAUAGGUACAAAGGAAUGUAUAAAGAAUAUAUGAACUUAUGAGUAAUUAUUUGUUCAAUAUGAUUAUUAAUGGAUGAAAGAAUGAUUUGGAAGAAAGUCUAAAAGAAUGAAGGAAUAAAAAAUAAUUAUUAAUAAAAAAAUGAAUAAAUAUUGGCUCAAAAAUUAUCACAAAGAUAUAUUUCAUUAAAAUAAUAACGUUCAAACAUGAGCCAAUUUCACAAAAGAGUUCUUACUGCCUCUAGGCUAAAAGCAACAAGUGUGAUCUGAAUAUUACUCUCAGUAAGCUCUAAAUACUAUAGGGGUCUCUUCUGUAGUCUAAUUAUUUAGAACGCUUCCAGGUUUAUAAGGGCGAAUAUCUAAUAAGGUCUCUUCUUUAGUUGUGUCUUCAUAUAUGGCAUUUUUGUGAACGUUUCCCUACACUUUUUCAUACUUUGCAUUCACCACAUUAUCAAUAUGAUUGAGUAACAGAUUUUCUGCACUAGAUGAAUCAUCAAAUUUGACAAUGCCCAUAUUGAUGAGCCUUUCGACCAGUUUCUUGAAAGUGGUGCAGUUUUCUAUAGAAUGUCCUACAAUACCUGCAUGAUAGUCGUAGUAUGCAUUCGCGUCAUAUCAUUUGGGGUAUGGAGGUUACAGGGGUUUUAAGUAGAAAGGGGAAAUAAUGUGUGCACCAAACAAACUUUGAUACAACUCCCGGUACGACAUUAGAAUUGGCGUAAACUAGAGCUUCUUAGUUUUUGUCUUAUGUCGAAUUCUUGUCUUGAUGGACCUUGUUGAUUAGUAGCCACCUUUCCUAGUUGGUUCACCGUGAUCGAUUUCGAGUAACCCUUGUUAUAGGUGUUCAUGUUGUUCACCUCAUUCUCUUUUUUCUUCGGAGCUGACCUUCGGUUACUUUCUUCAGCCUCGAUCAUCCCACUUUUUAUGGCAUUUUCAAUCAUUUAUCCAUUCAUAACUAUGUCAGAGAAACUUUUCAUGGUACUUUCCAACAUAUGUGUGAUAAAUGGUGCCUUCAGUGUGUUAAUAAAGAGUAUUGUCAUCUCUCUUUCCAGGAGCGGGGCUGGACUUGAACGACAACCUCUCUCCACCUUUGUGCGUAUUGCCUAAAACUUUCAUUAGGCUUCUUCUACAUAUUUUCCAGGGUGACUCUAUCAGGGACCAUAUCUGUUACAUGACUUUAUUAUUUCAUAAAUACUUGUGCUAAGUCUCUCCACGAACUAAUCUUGGUACGGGUUAAUUGAUUGUACCACUUAGAUGCUGCCCCUGUGAGGCUAUCUUGAAAGCAAUGUAUAAACAGUUGGUCAUUGUUAACGUAUUCAGUCAUACGCCUACAAAACAUGGUAAUAUGAGCUUCAGGGCAACUGGUCCCAUUGUAUUUCUCAAAUUCUGGCAUUUUGAAGUUAUGGGGAAGUACCAAAUCUAAGACUAAACUCUCGAGCCAUUUACAUCUUUCCUCCAGCUGUUUUGGCUAUUCUUCCUUGGUUUUCUCAUUCUCAGCCACUUCGUCAAAAUCGGGGACAAUGGAUUGGUAUGGUUCUCUUUGGAGUUAAAACCUAAUCUGGUUUGGAAGUUUAUUGGCAUUGAGGUGCCACCUUGAAACCGUUGAGGCCUGAUUGUGACAGAGGACCUAGGUGGGUGUACCUCAACUUGGGGUUGAACAUGUAGAGGAUUAAAGCCUGGACUGUAGAGGGGUCCAUCAUUAUCUCUUUCUUCAAUAUUAACCAUGGGGUCCUUUCCUUUGUCAUUUCCCCCAGCCAACAGGUGUGUUAACUGAGUCAUCAUGUUCUUCUGGGACUCCAUCAUAUUUUCUGCCAUAUCUUGUUGAAUUUUUUCUAACCGGUCUUGCAUUUGGUCUUGCAUCUCCUUUUGGAGCUGUUUGAGCCUUUCCAAUCUUUGAUCCAUGUUUUUCGAUUUUACUCGAGUAUCGUAAAGGUGUUAUUUUUCCAGAUUAACUAAAAUAAUUUUAUUUAAUUAGGAUCUUUUGGUGGAUUUUAAUGCAUAUGAUGUAAUGUAAAUGCAUGAAAUGAAUGCAAAAGAGACGUUGAUUCUUGGUUCAAUUCUAUUAGAACAACUUUACUAGAAAACAAAUCUCUUUAUAUAAAGCGGAUAUAUAUAUAGCUUUGCCCUCAUAUUCCAAGCGAAUACAACGAUCCUUUUCUUCAUCUGGAUGUUAAAAUGAAUCUCACGAAUUUUUCAAUGGAUGCCUCUACUAGCUCCUUUUUGCUUGAUCCGAUCCGCAACUCAUUAUUUGUUUAUCCUCGUGAUGCUCGUUAGCUUCUUUAAAAAGGUAGGGGCAUUGACGACUCUCGAACAAUCUUUGUCAACUUGAAUCCUCUGGUAAUGAAACAAAGUUACGUAGUCUUCCAUUAGACCAUCAUCUUUCUCUGGUCACAUUUUCUUGGACCAUAUUCGGACAAUCGCAUUGUCUUCCACUUUAUCAAGAAAUAUGUUUUCUUAUGACAAGCUCUCUAUUUAGAUACUGAACGUGAAUCAACACCUCUUUUUUAUGAUGAAAAUGCAAUGCAAUUAUAACCAAAACAAAAGAAAAUUGAUUAGUACAAAACACAAGCAAGCAAGAAAGAAAUAAAUAGAGCACCUAUUCGAGUGACCACUAGGGGUUUGGCAUAGUUCUACCUAGGCUAGGCUCUUCGGGCUCACUAUAUGCUGUUCGGUUCUAAAGUAAAGGUACCCGAACCGGCAGAUUCCUCGAUCUUCACCCAUUAUAGGCUCAUAUGGAUCGAGUUCAGUUGAGGGAAAUACAUUUCCCUAUGGCCGUGCGAAGAUGAAAAUCUCACGAAGACAUAGGUACGGAUGUAUCCGGGAAGUGAUUCACUAUCCCAUGCAGAGGUGAAAACCUCACAAAGGCAUAGCUUCUCACUCCCACUUAAAAGGGUGUUACCAACGGUCAUGCAAUGCAAUGUGCAGAAAGAUACCAAAACUUAAACUAACGCAACAAUUAUAAACCACAAUGAUGAAUAUCAUAAUAAAGACGGAUGAAACAUAACGAAAUGAUCGUAUCUUUAAAUCAAGUUUUCAAUUUGUGACAAAAAGACAAAAAAUAAUCAACUCGUGGCUUGACUCUCUUAUUUUGAGUCCCCAACAAAGUCGCCAAGUUGUCGUAACAAUUUUUUGUAAAACAAGAUCGACUUGGAUUUUAAAAAUGAAACAAAUGUGGGAGUCGCUACCAAUCCUUUUUGAUAAGGUGUGAUCGGGACACCUUGAAAAGUGGUUGUUUUUAAUAAAUAAUUUAAUUUUAUUAAAACAAUGAUUUUGGUUUCUUUUUGUUGGGUCCAGGCUAAAUUGAGCUUGUACAAUAUUUGUUGCAGUGUGUAAAAAUAAUUACAAAUUAUGUACAAAUAUACACAAUUGUAACAAGUAAUAAAGUACUAAGUAUACGAGUACUGUCUCCUUAGGGACUGAACAGGUAGUCAAGAUUUGAGAAAAUAAUUUAAAUAACAAUUUAGGAAGAAAACAACUACAAAUGGGGUUUAUGCGAUUAAUUAAACUAAAUGAUUCUAUCUUGCAAAAUUUCAACAGAAUAAUGAGUACUUCAAGAAAUGAGUUACUAAUAUCAAAUAAUGCUAGAAUACUUAAUCCACUUCUGCCUCUGAUCAAUUUAGUCUGGAUGAAAUUGUUAUGAAAAUCAUGGCAUAAUUAGCGUGUAACAUCCAUAACCCAUUUUUGUCGCCAGAAUAGGGUUACAGAGUAUUACUAUACAAUUCGAAACAUUCCAUAACAAUAGCAUCUAAGUCAUCAAAUUACUUAUUAACAAUAUUCAUAAAUAACAUGAAAUCAAGCAAGACACACAUUCACAGAACUUAAAUCGAGCCUACAAGGCCCUAAAAAUAUCUUAGGAACAAUCAGAGACUAAUUUAAAACAAAACAGGAGAUUUGGGACAAAAAUGAAAAAAAUUCAAAAAAGGGUCACACGGCCGUGUGUCUAGGCCUAGAGCGUGUGGCUCUAGACAUGGCCGUGUGGCCAUCCCACAUGCUCGUGUGCAAGAGCCAUGUAACUCUUUGACUUGGGUCACACAGUCAUGUCACAGCCAGUGUAAACUUUGCACCUAACACGCUAAGGGCACACCCCCGUGUGUGACACACGACUAUGUGAUAACUUGUGUCCCAGGUCAUGUGUACCCAAAAGUGACUAAAAUCAUGCUAAUUUUUCAUCCAAAUUCUUUAGUGAAAAUGUCUGGGUCUUCAUUCUUUUCUCUUAUAAGAAGUUCAAAUUCAGACAAUUUUGUUUAGCCUUAGACACGAGAAAGUGUUCUAAUAGUACAUCUCGCAUGUCACUUAAUUGGCUGAUGUUGAUAAGUAAGAAUGCCCUAAUUCCCCCUAAUUUAUAUCCCUUGAUAGUUGGGUGAUUGCGAUGAUUUAUUUAUUCAUUUUGGAAGUUUUUAUUAGAAUUUGACUUGCUAAUUUGCAAUUUAUAUUAUAUUUGUGCAUUUUUUACAUAAUUUUUUAUUAAUUAAUAAUGUGUUAUUUAUACUAUAAUAAUGUUUAAAACACACUUAUUGCUCUAAGCCUGGGAGCAAUAAGAAUCCUUUUGUGAAAAAGGCAUAUGUCCAAUAUAUUUAUUUCAAUAAAAUGCAUCUUUGUGUUUUAUUUUAGAAAAUAUUCUUUUUUUUUCCAUUUCAUUCAUACUCAUACCACACAAAUAAUUAUUCUUAGAUUCAUUUGUUCUUUGGGUCUUCCUUUAUUCCUAUAACAGGUAUCCAGAUAUUAAUGAUAUGAGUGACGCUGCUGCUGACUCAAAGUCUCCUUUUAAGCAGGAUAUGUGUCCAGAGGAACCUCAGGACUUUGAAGAUGAUCAAGAUUGUAACCUUUCUCCUGAUUUGUUAAGGAUGAAAGAACAAGAUGAGAAAUAAAUCCUACUUUACAAAGAGUCAGUAGAAAUUGUGAGUUUGAGAGACAAAUAAGAAAAUAAAUAGGUAAAGAUCAGAGCUUGCAUCACUGUAGAGACGAAACGAGACCUCAUUGAGUUACUCCAAUAAUUCAAAGAUUUCUUCGCAUGGUUGUAUCAAGACAUGCCUGGUCUAAGUACUGAUAUCAUGGUACAUCGGCUUCCCAUAAGGGAAGACUGCAAGCCGGUUCAACAGAAACUCCGAAGGAUGAGGCCCGAUGUCUUGUUGAAAAUAAAAGAAGAGGUUAAGAAAUAAUUCGAUGCUGGUUUCCUACAAGUGGUUAAAUACUCGGAGUGGGUAGCCAAUAUAGUCCCCGUCCCUAAGAAAGAUGGGAAAGUAUGAAUGUGUGUAGACUACAUGGAUUUAAACAAAGCUAGCCCGAAGGACAAUUUCUCGUUGCCUCUCAUUAAAACAUUAAAAGACAAUACAGUAGGUUAUUCACUGUUCUCCUUCAUGGAUGGCUUCUCUGGAUACAACUAGAUAAAGAUGCAUCCUGAAGACAUGAAAAAGACCAUAUUCGUAACCAUAUGAGGAACAUUUUGCUACAAAGUAAUACCAUUCAGAUUGAAAAAUGCAGGAGCGACAUAUCAAAGAGCCAUGAUAACUUUGUUUCAUGAUAUGAUGCACAAAGAAAUCGAGGUUUAUGUUGAUGAUAUGAUUGCAAAAUCCCUAAUAGAAAAAGAGCAUGUACAAUUCUUAAGGAAACUAUUUUUAAGGUUGAUAAAAUUCCAGCUAAAGCUCAAUCCAGCAAAAUGCACCUUCGGGGUUAGGUUGGGAAAAUUACGAGAAUUUAUAGCCAGCUAAGAGGGGAUCGAGAUCGACCUGGAUAAAGUCAGGCCUAUACAGGAGUUACCUCUACUGUGCACUUAAAAAGAGGUUCGGGGUUUCUUAGGGAGAUUAAAUUACAUCGCCUGGUUCAUUUCACCACUGACCAAGAAAUGCGACCCCAUAUUCCAUCUCCUUAGGAAACAUAAUUCAGGUGUAUAGGAUGAAGAAUGCCAGAAGAAUGUUGACAAUGUAAAACAUUACUUGUCCAAUGCCCCAAUGUUAAUGCCGCCUAGUCCAAAUAAGCCACUGAUACUGUACUUGGUAGUAUUAGGGAAUUCUAUGUGAUGCGUGCUCGACCAACACGAUGAAUCAGGAAGGAAAGAAAUAGCAAUAUACUACUUCAGUAAGAAAUUCACUGAAUGUGAGACAAGAUAUUCACCAAUUGAGAAGUUGUGUUGGGCUUUAAUCUGGACAACCGAGAGACUAAGACAAUACAUGUUGUACCAUUCAACUUGGCAAAUCUCAAAAAUAGACCCUCUAAAGUACAUGAUAGAGUUGACUGCUUUGAAUGGAAGAAUGACCCAAUGGAAAAUUGUACUUUCCAAAUUUUAUAUAAUCUAUGUGAACCAGAAGGCAAUAAAAGGGAGUGUAAUAGAAGAUUUUCUAGCCAGUAGAACUCUAAAAGUUUACGAGCCUUCGAAUUUCAAUUUCCCGAAUGAGGAUCUGAUGUAUGUUGCAACCACUAAAGAAUAUGCUCAAGAAGGACAUCCUUGAAAACUAAAUUUUGACAGAGCCUCGAACAUUAUGGGUAACGAAAUUGGGGUUGUCCUAGUAUCCCCAAUCGGAGACCAGUAUCAUUUUACUAGUAAAUUGGAUUUUGAUUGUACAAGUAAUAUAACAGAAUACGAAACAUGCAUUAUAGGUAUCUGUACAGCCAUAGAACGCAAGAUCAAGGUACUGGAGGUAUAUAGGGGUUCUGCACUAGUGAUAUAUGAACUCAAAAGAGAAUGCGAGACGAGGGACCCCAAGUUGACCAAUUAUCAAAGGCUGACUCUUGAAUUAAUUAAGGAGUUUGAUGACAUCACCUUCUGCUACCUUCCGCAAGAUGAAAACCAAAUGACUGAUGCCCUAACUACUUUAGCUUCCAAAGUCAAAGUGAAUAGACAAGAUGAUGUAAAACCUAUUCAGAUGAGUAUUUAUGAGGCUUCGACCCAUUGUUACAACAUCGAAGAAGAAGAAAAGGAUGAUCACCCUUGGUACCAUGAUAUACUGCGAUAUGUAAAGAAUCAUGAAUACCCUAAUUAGGAAAUCGAGAAUAAUAACAGGAUGCUAAGGAAACUGACUAAUGGCUAUGUCUUAGAUGGGGAGAUCCUAUAUAAAAGAAGAAAGGAUCAGGUGCUACUGAGAUGUGUGGAUGCCAUUGAGGCCAAUAAAAUGAUGGAAGAAGUCCAUGAGGGCGUUUGCAGAACACAAGCUAAUGGUUUCACAAUGGCCAGGCAAAUCAUGAGAUUCAGAUAUUAUUGGUCCACCAUGGCCUUUCUCUAUGUGGGGCAUGGAUGCCAUUAGACCGAUCUCGCCAAUAGCUUCCAAUGGGUAUCGAUUCAUCUUUAUGGUUAUCGAUUACUUCACAAAGUGGGUAGAAUCUGCUUCUUAUGCCAAUGUCACGAAGUCAGCAGUCAAUAAUUUCUUAAAGAAAGAGAUCAUAUGUCGGUAUGGAAUGCCAGAAAGGAUCAUAUCUAAGAAUGCAUUGAAUUUGAACAACAAUACGAUAUCAAAAGUCUACAGUUAGUUUAAAAUCAAACACCACAACUCGUCACCAUAUCACCCAAAAAUGAACGGUGUAGUUGAGGGAGUUAAUAAAAACAUUAAGAAGAUCGUGGGGAAACUAACAGAGACUUAUAAAGACUAGCAUGAGAAGUUACCAUUUUCCUUUUAUGCUUAUUCAACGUCUGUCAGAACCUUCACUGGGGCAAUACCUUUCUCAUUUGUUUAUGGAAUGGAGGCAGUUUUGCCCAUUGAAGUCGAGAUUCAUUCUCUCUGAGUUUUAUCAGAGUUGAAGUUAGAUGAAGCAUAAUGGACCUAAUCUCGAUAUGAUCAGUUGAACUUGAUUUAAGAGAAGAUGUUGAAAGCUAUCCGUCAUGGUCAGAUGUACCAAAAAUGAAUAAUGCGAGCUUAUGAAAAAAAUGUUCGCCUCAGAGAAUUCCAUGAGGGUGACCUGGUAUUGAAAAGGAUCCUACUAAUACAAAAAGACUUCAGAGAAAAGUGGAUGUCGAAUUGGGAAAAACCUUAUGUGGUAAAGAAAGCUUUUUCUAAAGGAGCACUGAUUUUGACAGAGAUGGAUGGCAAAAACUUGCCUAAUCCUAUAAAUUCAGAUUCAGUCAAGAAAUACUUCACCUAAAAAAAUAGGGAGAGGCCAAGGUGAAAACUCGCAAAAGGGUGCCUUGAGACCAAAGGGGUUUUGUGUUGAAAACCUAGGAAAGGGCAGCUUAAAUUUAGAUCGAAGAUUGAACAUGUGGUAGUCAUGUCUACUCAGAACGAGAAACAUUACAUCUUGGGGCUUCAAUAAAGUACUUUAGAUCUCCUGAACACAUAUCAAGCUCAAAAUGGUCCUCAAGAAGUUUAUGUAGAGAAGCUCAUGCUGCGAUAUUUGGGGCACCUAAUUUCAUCUUACUCACUCUGUAUUUUACCAAUGUUUGCUAUUUUGAUUAAUCUAUUUAUUUUAAGCUUUGCUCCCAAUAAAUUUCAAUCUUGUCAAUUGUUACAAGCUUUUUCGAGCAUUUUUACAUUGAAAUAAUGAUUAAUGGACCAACAACAUUCAAGUAAAAGGAUUUUUGCAUAUUGCUUUGAAAGGUUUCUAAAUAGUAUAAGGACCUGAAACAGGACCACUAGUUAGAACUAACCAAAUCUAAGUGUUGGAAAUAUUUGGGAACGAAUAGUUUAAAUUGUGAUUAUUUCUUCAAGUUUCCUGUCAAAGAUACCAGAUUUGAACAAGAAGGUGUGGCAAUACAUCAUUGAUGGAACCUUGACGAACAAUGAGUAAUGUCAACCUAAGCAUUAAAAAGUGAAUCAUUCUCGAAAAAUGACAUUCUGCAUGCACGUAAAUAUCAUUCAUAUACAUCUAGUUAGGAGAAUUUGAUUCAUCCUGAUCAUAACAACCUAAUAGGUUGGCAUAAAUAUAGGCCUAUGAAAUGGAAUCUACAAGUCAUGUUCCCUAGAGAAAUGUAUAACAGAUCAGUGAAACCACAAAUCCUGCACUCUUGAAGUUACAGUGGAGUAGAUUGAAGCUACCAAUCUUAUCUUCCUAAAGUUGCAGUGGAGUAGAUUAAAGCCACAAAUUUUAUCUCCCUGAAGUUGCUGUGGAGUAGACUGAAGUCACAAAUCUUAUCUCCCUAAAGUUACACUAGAGCAUAUUAAAACCACAAAUCUUAUCUUCCUAAAGUUGCAGUGGAGUAGAUUAAAGCUAAAAAUCUUAUCUCCCUGAAGUUUCAGUGGAGCAGAUUGAAGAUAGCGAAUCUUAUCUCCCUAAAGUUGCAGUGGAAUAGAUUGAAGCUACAAAUCUUAUCUCCUUAAAGUUGCAGUGGAGCAGAUUGAAGAGACAAAUCAUAUGCCUCUAAAGUUGCAGUGGGUCGAAUUAAGGGCCAAUUCUUCAUUGCUUUUGAAAAGUGCUUUUGAAAAGUGUUGUGGAAAAGUACUUUUGAGAAGUGCUUUUGAAAAAUUUGAGUGUUUGGUAUUGCUGUCAAAAAGUGCUUUUGAGAAAUAAAAUGUCCAUUUCAGACAUGAUAUUAUAAAGUAACAAAUAUGUAUUUAAAUAAUGUUCAAAUUAGUUAAUAUUAUGAUAUUUUAGCAAAAUAAUAAAAAAUAAUUUAUCAUAACUUAUUGUUUCUAUUUUAAUAUAUAAUAUUAAUUUUAAAUAUUUGUAAGUAAUUAAUAGUAAUUAUUUAUUAAAUUUAAUUAGAUUAUAUAAACUAUAUUUAAAUAUUUAAAUAUAAUAAUUAAAUAUUUGUAAUUAGAUAUUGACACAAUUGUAUUAUGUUAAAAAUUAUUUUUUAUUUUUAAUUAAUGCUUUUAACACAUUUGUAUUAUUUUAUUUUAAAUUAACAUAACAUAGAAAAUAUAAACCUAACAAAUUAAAAUAUUACAUAUAUUUAGAUUAAAGUUUUAAAAAGGGAUAAUACUUAUAUACCAAAUAUAAAUACUAAAAAAUUUGGGAGAAGACAAAGGUUAAAAAUGUAAAUAGAAGCCAAAAGUACUUUCGGCAAAUGGAGAAGUUAAAAAUGAUGUCUGUUCUUUAUAGGUUUUCAGGGAAAACUACUUUUACAUGCAGAAGCUCAUCUGAAAAGCAAUAAAGAACACAACCUAAAUCUACCAUAGCGAGUCUCAUCUCCCUAAAGUUGCAGUGGAGCAAAUUGAAGCUACGAAUCUCAUCUCCUAGAAGUUGCAGUGGGUUAGAAUGAGGCUACAUAAAAAAGAGGAGCACCAAAGAAGUCAAAAUUCGAUAGCACCAGACAAAAUGGGCCCUUCUUAAAGUCUUUAAUCCAUCCCCGUUACAUGACAAUGAGCAAAGAGAGGCAGCUGUAAAGGUCCAAUCUCGUCCAGAUCAAAACCAAAAAUAAAUAAACAAAAUAUAAAAACCAAAAAAUAAAAAAGUCCAUUUGCAAAAUAAUGGCCCAAAUACAAAACCCUAACCCAAACCCAGUGUUACACAAGCCCAAGCCCAACUAACCUAAAGUUUUUUGAAAACCCUAAAACCUUAGGUCUCCCUCUCAUGCCGCUCCUUGCCACGUCAGUUGGUGCCCCUCCCAAAGACACCCACGCCCCGAGGUCUGCUCCUCUGCGACCCUUGCACCAAAACGGCAAAGGCAUAGAUCUCUCUCUGCAGUUGACCGCACACCACCGCCUGCAAUGAGAAAGAAAUAAGGAUAGAAACAUGAAGCAAAAAUAGUAAAAAAGACAGAAGCAAAAAAUAGAAAACACAGAAGCAAACACGAAGAUUUGCAAUCACUCAGCUAUAAAAAGCCGGAUAAACAUAUUGUAAAAUAGACGAAAAAUACAAAGAACAAAAAAACAUUUAAAAUGAAGUUGAUCUUCUUGUUUUAUUUUUUUAUAUUUUGAAAAAGAAUAAUAAAUAAAAAAUAAAACGUGUUUACCUGAGUCGCUUUACAUUCCUUUGUUGUUAGAGGUCUUCUUCGAGGUGGAAAGCUCUAGAACCCUUUAGGGUUUGGCCUGGGCUUCGACGGCAUGGGGUGUGAAAGGCGCGUCGGCUAGGUGAAAGGGCUGAAAAUUUUCUUCUUCUUCUUCUUCUUUUUUUUUUCUUUUUCUUUGCAAAUGGUAGGCUUUGCCUUCAGCUCUAGCUGAAAGGGCACUGAUAAAGCCCGUUUUUGUGUAACUCUAGUGGCCACGGAGGGCUUCCGCUGACUCUAUAGCCAUAUCCUAGGCCGUGAUUUCAGAGAGAAAAAGGGAGAAAUGAGAGGAUUUUUUUUAAAACAUGGAGGAAGUGAUUUUUUUCUAAAAUUUUUGGCUUUUAUAGGCCUCCAAAACGGUGCCGUUUUGGGAUUGGCCUCAGACGUCCAAAACGGUGUUAUUUUAGCGAGACCCGAAUCACUCCCCAAGAUCCGGGUUUUUUUAGAAAUGGGAUAUUUUUAGUUUUAGUCCUUCUGCUUUUUAAAUACUUUUUAAUUUCGUUCUACUAUUUAUUAUUAUUUUUAUUUUGCCCUUUUGUUUUGUUUUUUGUGCAAUUUAGUCCCUCGACCACUGUGGACCCAUUUAGGCUAUACCACGUGUCCCAGGGCUUGGAAUAAUUACCCAUUUCAACCCUGCUACUUUUUAUGCGUCACAUUUUGGUCCUUUAUUCAUUUAUUUUAUUACAAUUUAGUCUUUUAAUUUCGUUUUAAUUCUGAUUUAAUCCUUGGUUUAUUUAAUUUCAACCUUUUAUGAAUUAUUUUAUUUAUUACUUCUUUACCUUUCUUUAAUACUCAAAAUUCAUGUUAUUUAUAUUUCCAUUUUAUUGUGCAUUAUUCGUCUUUAUUAUUAUUAUUUUAUUAUUCAGGUUAAUAUUAUGAUAGUAACUAUAAUAUAAUUAUCACUAUUAUUGCUAUAAAUUGUUGUUUUUUUACUAUCAUUAUAGUUGUAUUAUCAUCACUCACUAGUAUACCAUUUUUAUUUUUAUUUUAUUGAUUUAUUUAUUUGUUCAUUGAUUUACUUGCUUAUCAUUUUAAUAUCAUCUUUGCCUUUUUUACUCGUUACUAUAUUACUUUAUUUUGCUAACAUUCAUGUUGAGUAUCGCGUUAAAAUAUAUUCGUUCAUUUUAUUACUGGCCUAGAUAAAUAAAAAAGCAUAUCGUUAAAAGGUUGCACUCAUUUUACCAUAUGAAUAGGAAAUAUUCUUUUUUUUAAAAAAGACAAGGUUUAUUUUUUUGGAAUUAGAGGAGUCGUGCUCCGAACUUACGGAGUAUGACCUCUUUCUAAAACCGAAAUAGUUGAAUAUCUAUUUUAAAAAUAUAAAGAAAACGAGAUUUAAGUAAUGUCCAAAUGACGAUUAUUCUCGUUUUAAAGGGUUUAAGGCAUCAUAUCCUAACUUACGGGGCACGAUCUUUUCUUCUUGAUUAACUUGAAAUAAGCUCUUUUUGUGAAAAUCAAUUUAGUUAAGCGAUAUUUUAAUAUCAUGCAAAGAGGGAUCGUAUUUUAAGUUUGGUUCAAAUUUUUAGUUUUAGACAUCAAAACAUUAAGUAACCGGCUAGGUACCAAGGUACCAAUUUUGGGCGUUAUGAUGGUGCUUAACCUUCCUCAUAUGUAACCGACUCCCGAACCCACAUCCUUGGAUUUCGUAGGCUAAACAUUAUCAUUUUAGAAAAAUCUAAUCUUUUACCAAGAUGGUUAAAAUUUGAGGUCACCCAAUUACACCUAAUAAAAAGGAUCGGUGGCGACUCCAUUUUUAUUUUAAAAUAAAAAGUCGAUAAUCUAUUUAAACAAAUAUAAUAAAUAUUUUGCAAGUGUGCAAAUAUAAUAAAUAUUAUGAUAUUAGAUAUUAAGUUCAAGAUUCCAUUUAAAGUAUUAAUAAUAGGUAAAUUAUAAAAAUAGUCAUUUUUAUUUACCUCAGAUUACAUUUUAGUCACUUAUUUCAAUAAAAAAAAUUUUCAUGAUUUUUAUAGCUUUUCAACCGUUAAAAAGUUGAACCAUGUAAUUUCUUCUCUGAAACUUUUUGUGCACACUUUUCGGGACGUCUCGCAAGUUUUUGCGAUGCGUUGGAAAACCUCACAAAAAUUUGUUUAUUUAAAUCAAUAUUAAAAUAUAUGUUUAAAAUUAUGAACCCAUGAAAUUAUAAAUCUCAAAUUGGUAUCCUAAACAACCCAAGUCCUAAAUUAUGAACCUUAUAAUAAACGCUCUAAAAUUAUACUAUGGUUUAUAUUUUAUAUGGUAUGAAAUUAAAUGAUCAUAUAUUUUAAUAUGAUCAAAUGAAAACAGUGCAUUGGUUUACUAAUUAAACUAUUAAAUUCAAACAAUUAAUAGUUUGUUACUAAUUAAAAUGAAUUUAGAAGGAAUUUUUUAUAUUGAUGGUUUUUGAUGAUGUGUUUUGGAAGUCUCCUAACUUGGCUUUAUGUAGAGGAGAGGAAAUGAAUGAAGAGAUUUAGACCGAUUUAUGAAGAAUUUUGUUAAAAUGUUAAUAGGUAUAAGUGAACAGACACAAUGAAUGAAAAGCUGCAAUAUUAAACCAAAAGCAAUGAAUCUAUUCACCAAGAGAUAUAAUUGUUCAAAAGAUACAACUGUUCAUCAAGAGUCAGAACUAUUGUUUAAUUUGAGCAUCAAUUUAUCAUUCUAUCACUCAACAAUUUUGAACACAUUAUAUAGAAUAUAAACCCAUAAUUUAUUAUUCAAACCUUCAAUUUUAUCAAUAAAAUAACAUACCUCAAAGUUCCAAAAUAUCAAUUAUUUUUAAUCAACACAAUCUUUAUCGUUUGGGUUUUUGUAAAUUAUACAUGAUUCAUCUUUUACUCUCUUAAAACUAUUUUCUUAUAGGAAAAUAAGAGAGCUAUCUUUUUAAUAAAUUUAUACUCCACCCUCUUAAAUUAAUAAUGGUGAUCACCUACAUGUUAUGAGCACACUGUUAGCCCAAAACAUUUCGAUGUUAGGGUAUCUAUUUAGUUAAUUUAGUUUAAUGAGCUUUCUAAUCGCUUUUGGGUUUUCGGUCUUUUGACUUUGGAAGAUUCAUGUUCAUGCAACUAAGGAAUUCCUCAAGUCUGUUGAGAAGAAUGUGACUUGUCACAGGCUUGCUUAGCAAGUUGACUCAUCCUAGGUUGAUGUAAAUCGUGAUUCUGUGGUAACUUUAUAGGAUCAUUCGAUCUUUCCCCGAUGGUAAACUGAACUUGCUGAUCUCAUGUUGUACUUAUCAUUGUGAAGGGAUGACUCUUAUAGAUCACUAAGGAAGCCAUGAUUAUGUAAUCCAAUUCAACUGAGCUUAAUUGAAUAGUUUUAUAGCUUCCUUCCAUCUUAUCAUUGUGAGAACAAAGUACUAAUAGAGGACUUUUACUAGAAUGCAGAUGAAGUAAGGAAGGGAUUAGGAAGUGGCUGUCAAUGUGUAAUCUGUUUGGAAAUUAGUAUAUCUUAUAUUACUUUGUGUAGGCUAGAAGUAGAUAAAGGACUAAGAAGUAGCUCUCAUUGAUUUAUUGGUGUGGGAACUUUUUUAUUAGAUACGUGGUACUAUUUCAAUGACAAAACCAUGAAAUUGAUAAAGCAUUUAUUAUGGAAAUAAAGUUAAGUAAAACGUGGAAAAAAGAUUAAAUUACAAGUUUUGAAAAGUUUAGGGAUUAAAAUGAAAAUAUGACCAAAAUGAAAAAAGUAAGUUAUUGGUGAUGAAUUGACAUAUAUAAGAAUAGGUGGGGAUAUGUAUUGGUAAGAUGAAUUUUUUUAAGACUAAAUUGAAAAGAUGGGAAGAUAUAAAGACUAAAUUAUAAAUUUCCAAUUUUAUUGAAAAAAAGGUGAAAUAUGUAAUUUUGUGUUGGUGUGUGUUUUGUAGGUGAUUGUGUUGUUGUUGUCUUUAGGAGGGAUGUUCAAAUGGUUAACCGAACCAAAUUAGUAUUAAUUUAAUUAACCAAUUUUUUUUUACCUUUAACUGUUAACUAAAUCAAAAAAUUUUCAAAAAAUAUUAACCGAACCGAAAUUUAUAUGUUUAUUUUUUUAUUAAAACAAGUAUAAAAAAUAUAAAAAAUAAAUAAAUUGUUAAUGUUCAUUGACCGAAUUAAAACUACAUAUAAUUUGUAUUAUUGAUUAUUAAUUAAGUUAAUUACCCAAUUUCAAACUGAUAACCGGACUUUCAAAAAAUUAUUAACCAACCUCGGACCGAAUUAAAUCAAUUAAUCAACUAAUUAAUUGAAUUAGAUCGAUUCGAUAAGUUAACUCAAUUUUAACUGAAAUUUGAAUACCCUAAUAUUUAGGCAUGAUGUAUUGCUUCUUCUUUUUUUUUUAAUCUCUAACUUGGUUUUUCAUCCUUUAUGAGAUUUCAUAAAAUCUAAUAUAUAUUAAUCUUUGUAAACUUCGUCCUCCCGAAGUAAUGAAAUGGCAUUUUAGUAAAAAGAAAUUCCAAGUAGUUAUUACUAUAUACAUUACUAUCAAACUUUUGCUACAUUGCCACUUUAAUUUGUUUUUGGAAGAGGUUUUUUUUUUUUUUUAAUCAUCAUUUAUUCAUUAUAAUGGGUAGAAGAACGCCAAGAGUACAAGAGUGAUAGUUCCAAACAGACCACAGACAUCAACACCAAACGAAAGGGAAAAAAGAACAAAUACAACACAUAUCUUAGACCAUUUAACACUGCUAAUUGAUUAUCGUAACUUGCCUAUCAGUAUGCUCGAAAAUUAGUCAAGCAGUACAACCACAUAUAUAUAGGUAGAGAAAUGUCCAUUAUAUGAACUUACAUAACGGGAUACGAAGCUUUCAUGGCGAUACCACAUAAGCCACCUGGUGUAUUCGCGUCCCUUUGAAUCCUAAUAUAUCCUUUUUCACCCCAAGUUUCUCCCCAUGAAUUCUUAACCAGCCAGUAGUUUAAACCUUCUUCACUUGUUCCGUAUCCGACAACGGUGACUGCAUGGGAGAGAGCAUUGCCACAAUCUCCGGUAAACACUCCCCCGCUGUAAAACCGAAAGUCUUGUCCAUGGCCUUCGAUUGCAACUGAGACAGGUUGACUUGCGACGACCUUAAGCAACGCUUCUUCGUCGUUUUCAGGCACCAUUUGAUAUUCAUUGAUGGUGGCAACUUUGUUUAUCUGUUUCUCAGUGUCGCAAGUUUCUUGUGUUUCUUGAUAUGGGUAGCUCUCUUCAGUAGUUAUUCCUUGGUUUCGGAUAACGUAUUCGAAAGCAUUUACCAUUCGUCCACCAUCGCAACCUCUGUUUCCUCCAUCUGUGCUGCAAUCCAACAAUUGUUGUUCAGAUAAUGAGAUUAAACUACCAGUUUUGAUUUGGACUAUCCCUUCAAUGGCUGCCACUGCUGAAAAUGCCCAACAACAUCCUGCAAAGUAAACCAACAAUAACCCUUUGUUAAGUAUAAAACAAUUGCUUCUUGGCUGAGCAAUAUUUAUAAAAUAUUUUAUAGGAGUUGGGUUAGCAUACUA